UUCGGUGAUACUUUUGGGAGAAAGGGAAGAGAGAAGUUGUGGGGAUGAUACUUGUGGUGGAGGUGACGAGUGGAGCUGACAUAGAAGCCAUGGUUACUUGACUCUGAAUACUACGUUGUAUAGGCUUUGCUUUUAUAAUGUGUUCUAGGUUUUACUUUUCUUUGCACAGGUGGCAGGCCGUACACAUUGGCGGUCCUUAAGGGUUUGACGAGGAAUACUACGUAGUCAUUUAGUACAGGGCAACCAUGCACUAUAGCACGUGGCAUGUAAUAUUUACGUAGUCUCAGAAGGUGAAGCGGUUUUGGGCUUCUUGUGUACCAAUAAUAUUUACGUACUCAUUAUUCCACUGGAUGGAUUGCGUGCACGUGAUCUUUAUUCAAACAAAUCACUAUUGACCAUAUAUUGCAAUUGGUUAAUGUUAGGCAAAUUAAAUUUUUACAUCAAAUAAUGUGGUUGCUGAUUAUUGAAUUAUUAUUUAAGUUUGAUUAAUGUGCUUAUUUUUUAUCGGUAAUACAUCAUUUGAUUUGCAAAUUUGAUUUACCUAAUAUUACCAGUUAUAAUUUGUAUAAAUGGACUGGUACCUAACAUUACCAAUUGUAAUUUGUAUAAAUGGACUCGUACCUAACAUUACCGGUUGUCCCAAGAGCACACGCUACUGCUCAAGAAGCAAAGUUCUUAUUUGCCCAAAAAAAAUCAUGGUUUUUUAAUUGAUGCUCUCAUUUUAAUUUACUAGCCCCUUACUUGGCCCUUUUUAUUUAUCAUUUUAUACAUAUUAAUAUUUUGUUUGUAAAAUAUAUUAGUGUUAGUUUUAUCAAAAUUAAAAAUAAAUAAAAAACUUAGCUUUAGUAUUUAGUUAUUGAAAUUGUAAAAAAAGUGAUAAAGUAUUGGGUGCUUUGUUUGAAAAUUUUCAAAAUGAUAUUGUUUUUACCACUGAACCCCUGUUAUAUACAGUGAUGGCUAAUUUGUCAAGUUCUACGAAGUUGGGAUACCCAGCGUUUUAGCAUAUAACAUAGCUUAGUAUUUCAAGCAUAAUUAAUUAACGAAAAAUUAGUAUCCGGUCCCUAGUUUUUACUGUUCAUUGACUAAGACCUUAUUAGUUCUCAAAUUUUGAUUCAAGUCCCUAGCAUUAAUGUGAUAAUGAAUUUACAUGUUUAUUAUAUAAUUUUUUAAUAUAAAAAUUAGUAAUUAAUUUAGGGUUUAAUACUCACACCUCUAUUAAACUUCUAAUUAAUUUUCAAUUCAGACAUUUCCAAAAUAAUAAAAAAUUAAAUUAAAUUAAGUUUGUACCUAUUAGUUUUUUUUUAUAUAUAAAAAGAUUCUCAAUUUUUAAUCUUAAAUGUACAUCUUAAAUGUACCCAUUCUCAAAUAUAUCAAUUUGUUAUAUGUAAAAUGUACCCUUUUUUAAUAUAAAAUCCAUUCAAAAUUUUUAAUCCAUGUUUAAACUUAUAUGGGUACAUUCUUUUUCGUUGAUUUGAGAAUGUAUCCAUGUUUUGGUACAAUAAAUUUUUUGUUAAUUUUGGUUAAUGUACCCAUACAUAUAUGUACACACACACACACACACACACACACAAUAUAAUAGAGAGUAUAAUUUAUAUUUUAUUAUUUUUAAUCCCAUAAAUGAUGGGUUUUAUUUAAAAUCUCAUUAAUAUAAACAAUUAUAAAUUUCAAUUUUUAAUUUUUAAUUUAAAAAAUAUAGUAACUUACAUUAUUACAUUAAUGUCAGGGACCUCAAUAAAAAACUAAAAACUAACAAGGUUUCAAUCAAAGAAUAUUGAUAGCUAGGGACCACAUCCAAAGUGUCCCUUAAUUAAAGGGUAAAUUACAUAGUAACCCCUCAGGUUUGAUGUCUAUUACAACCCCAUACAACAUCUUUAAAACAUUUCACUUUCAUACCUCAAGUACUAUUUUAUUUCAAUAUAAUACAUCUGUUAGAUUUUCCAUCCAUUAAUCCGUUAAAUGCUGACAUGGAUACCACAUUUGUGCCACGUGGCUGCCAAAUGCGUGUCAUGUGGCAAAAAUAAUAAUUUUUAAAUUUAAAAAAAAAUGAAUCUUCAACCCAAAAAAAAAAAAAAAAAAAAAACCCCAAACCCAGAUCCCAUCAACCCCCCCCAAACGAUUAUCCCUUCCCCAUAUCCCCCAUCCCACCCCCCAACCCCCCCUCUGCGACCAACCUUACCAUAGCGCCCCCCAACCUCGCGACCCACCUCACUCAAGGCCCUAAUCCACACUACCUACAACCCAGAAACGAAAAAAAAAAACAAAAAACAAAAAACUCAUCUCCCUUUCCCUGCAACCCAAAUCCCAUCUUCCCUAAUGGGUAUGGAUUUAAGAAGUGGGGUGUGUAGAGGAGGGAAGAGGGUGGGUGCGGAGGAUGGGUAUGGUGGGUUGCAAGGAAGGGGGGUCGGGUAAGAUGAAGAUGGGUUUUUUUUUUCUCUCUCUCUUCUUCUUCUUCUGGGUUGCAAGUUGUAGGUUGGGGUUUUUUUUUGGGGGGGGGGGGGAGGGAGGGAGGGAAGACGACGUGGGGUUUGGUUUUUUUUUUUUAAUUUAUUUAGAAGAUUUAGGUUUUUUGAAAAAAAAAAAAAAAUUCCACGUGGCACAAAUGUGGCAGCCACGUCAGCAUUUAACAGAUUAAUAGAUGGAAAAUCUAACGGAUGUAUUAUAUUGAAAUAAAAUAGUACUUGAGGUUAGAAAGUGAAAUGUGUUGAUGCACAAAACCGAAGGUCUUUGAACAACGUAAAUCCGAUCGUGAAUAUGCAAGUAAUGUAAAUAACACAAGAUGUAUCGUGGUUCACUCCAAUGUUUGGGCUACGUCCACACUGAUUAUUGUAUUUCUCUGAGAGGUGAGGGGGAGAGCUUUGAGAAAGCUUAGAGCUUAGGGGAUGUGAGAAGGCUUAAGAAUUGGCCUCCCUUAUUUGUGAGGGUGAUGAGUCCUUUUAUAGAAUAAGGGAUCCUCACUUAUUACAUAUUUGCCCAUUCCUUUAUUACAUAAUUACAUUUAAGUCCCCUGAGUACUUGUACAAGGUCUAAAUACGGAGGCCCUAAGUAUGGUACAAACAGUAGUCCCCCAAGUCUUCAGUCAAGAGAGUCUUUUGGCUAGAGACUUGAAAUUCUGUCCAUGUGUGAGCCGAAAUAACUAGAUGUCGUCUAGAACUGAUAUUUGAUAUGCGGCAGUGCCCAUUUUGAAAUAAUGCUCAACUAGAAGUAGCACAUGCUGCGAGGCUGCUCUGCUUGUGUUGCCUUGGUUGGCUCGACUUGUGGCGUUGAAGGUGAGAGAGUCCCUUUUAUAGAAUAAGGGCUCGCUCCUCAUUACAAAGAUGAUGGGUUAGUUGGUGCUUGCGGUGAGGCGGAUGCUCAGCUGGCGGCGAUGCUCUCUAAUGAUAGUGAGGGAGUCCAUUUUAUAGAAUAAGGGAUCGCUCCUCAAUACAUAAAUAAUAGGUGCUCUCUAAUGAAAGUAAGGGAGUCCCUUUUAUAGAAUAAGGGCUCACUCUUCAAUACAUAAAUAAUGGGCUAAGUCCCCUAAGUAUUUUUUAUGAGGCCUAAUUGAGGCCCAAUAUAUGGUACAUAAUGUAGUCCCCCAAGUCUUCGGUCAAUAGAGUCUGUUGGCUGGAGACUUCAAAUUGAAUCCAUGUAUGGGCCGAAGUGGCGGUUGUUCGGAAGCGGUAUUUGUAUACCCUGCACUGAAGCUUUAUAGGUGAAGCUUUGCAAGUGAAGCUUUGAAGCUGGAGCUCAGUAAAUGAAGCUUUUGAAGCUAGAGCUUUUGUAAAUGAAACUUUUGAAGCUGGAGCUCUAUAAAGGAAGCUUUUGUAAAUGAAGCUUUUGAAGCUGAUUCACAUGAGUGAUGCUCAUGAAUGUUUAUGUUGAUUGAUAUGAGUGAUGCUUAUGGAUGUUGACAUGAGUGAUGCUCAUGGAUGUUGACGUGAUGCUCAUGAAUGUUAACAUGAGUGAUGCUCAUGAAUGUUUAUGUAUGAUUGAUAUGAGUAAUGUUCAUGAAUGUUUAUGUAUGAUUGACAUGAGUAAUGCUCAUGUAUAAUUUGAAGUACUGGGCAUACUUUUGAUUACCUGGUUGGCGAUAAUAGCGGCAGGGUGCCGAAUAAUUUUUUGUAGUACUGGGCGUACUUUUGGUCACCUGGUUGGUGAUAAUAGCAGCAGGGUGCCGAAUAAUUUUUUGUAAUACUGGUCGUCCUUUUGGUCACCUGGUUGGUGCUAUUUUGAGCUUAUGGGCCUUCGCCCUCUACACAACAUUCCAGCCUAUUUAUUUUGGGCUUUACCGUUUUUUUUAAUUACCCUAUGAUGGGGUUUAUACAGAUGUCUCCGAAAGAUAUGAAAAAUAAAUUACAUCAUUCAAAAAUAAAUCCGACCCUCUGCUCAAUGGGUCACGCCAAUAAUUCUUUUUUUUUAUGCAUGCCAUCACCACCGCAAUUAUGUCUGCUUCUUUUUAUCUUCUUUUGCUUUCUGCUUUUGCUUUUACUUUAUCUUUCUCUUUUGGCAUAUGGCAGACAACGCCAAAACGGAAUAAUGAAUUAUUAUGAGAACAUGAAUCUUAUCUUUUGCCUGGUUUUCCACUAGUGCUCGUGGUAUUCUCAGGAGAUUGGAUCUGGGGGUAGGCGACUACCCCAGCACCUUGCCCUGAUACGUAAUAGCCUGAUGUCCCACUGCCAUCUCCAUACUGGAAGGUGUACGAACAAUGGUUAUUCUGUGUGGAACAAAUAGAAUCCGAUUGAGAUUCAAGACUGCACCUUCGAUCUGAGCAAGAAAUGAAUUGUGACGUUGAUGAACUUCUAGGAGGAGAAGCAGAGGAUCUUUGACUAUGAUGAUCUUUGAAUUCCAGAUGAAACUGAAUAAAAUGCAGGUUGUGGAGCUUGAUGUGGGCCCAGAUCUGCUUGACAGCUUUGGGGCGGGAGGAUUCCUUGACACUGAGGAAGAUUCCCAGAGCUGGAGGGAUGAGAAUCGACUUCAUAAUCCCGAUGGUGGGUUUGUGCUUGGUCGAAAGAUCAUUUCUGGCAGGGGAAAACAUGUACCAUACCUAUUGCAAAUCUUGCAAAUUCUCUGCUUCUCCAUGGAAGAUGAAGAGCAUCGAAUCUCUGUUUUCUCUCUCUCUCUCUAAAACGUUUUCGUUAUAGAGUGCCCCAAUAGAAGUGGACGGGCAGUGAGCAUGCCAUUUAGUGCCUCCUCCAAGACAGUAACUGAUACGGUGGUCUUUAUUGGCACUCCAAGUUUACUAAAAAGGGCAGCAAAAAUAGUAUUUACAGCACCCAAACUUGAAAGAUCUAGCUCCAACUAGUGGCUUUCUGUUUCAACAGCCUGAAAGCCGGCAGUGUCAUACCGACGCCGUUUGUCUGGAUCAAAUAAUAUAUUAUAAGAAAACAUGACCUUCUUGAAGAUAUCAGCUGUUUUAGAGUCAUUAGCAUUUUUGUCAGGAUGGUACUUGAGAGCCAUUUUCCGGUAAGCACUUUUGAUUUCCUGGUUGGUGGAAUUCCUAUUGAGGCCGAGGACCGCAUAAGGGUUUUGUCGGAGCUGCUUCUUAGCUUCUUGCUUCUCCGAUUUUGAUCGGCUGCCCUGCAUUUUUGAAAUUGACGGUCAAUUUCUUCACAAAACCCUAGAAAUUGCCUCUCGAUUACCUCCGAAACACAUAAUUCACGACUCUUGGUUGAAAUUUUUUUUUUUCAUUUCAAAGAAGUGGCGGAGGUAAAUCAGUUGUCACAUAGCACCGGAGCAUGAGGAAAACCUAGAAAACCAAGAGGCAGAGAGACUCCAUGCACAUCUAACCUGGAACCUUGCAGGAGAGAGCAGAGAGAAAGAGACAAGAAAGAUUGAGGGAGAAGCGAUCUUGGUGCAUCGUCUGUGAUUCCUUGGUGAUUUGCUCGAUCGGGACUCUGAAUUCGUGCAAGUCAUUGCUGUUAAGCAAGAAUCGCGAGGAGUCGGAGAGCUUGGAAAUCGAGAAGGAGAGAGGGCCUUUAGUCAGGGCUUGGAGGGUGUCGGACUCCGUCGGCCAAGAUUGGUGCACGGUCACGGCGUCUGGGCCCAUGGCGGUUGUGUAAAUGGGGGAGGUUCUAGGAGUCCAAGAAAGAAGAAGAAGCAGCGACCAUAGAUCUGGGAGUCCAUGGCGCUUGAAAGAUACGGCGAACAAGUCGGACUUGCUGCUGGGCAGCUGGCGGUGAUAAUGUUGGUGCAUGGGUUUUGGAGUGGGAGUGUUUGGAAUGGGUUUUUUGUUUAGUUUCUAUGUGUUUUUUCACAGAGAGAGAGAGAGAGAAGUGAUGGUGUUUAAGGGAUGAGUUUUGGAGCUUAGUGAAUGCUUUUUCUGGAAAAGCCCAGUGAGGUUUGUGGGUUUUUGCAGAUUUUGCAGAUUCGCGGUGGAGGUGAAAGAAUGAAAGAGAACCGACACAACUUUUCGUAUUGAUUCCCACAUACGGCGCCAAAUGUUGAUGCACAAAACCGGAGGUCUUGGAACAACGCAAAUCCGACCGUGAAUCUGCAAGUAAUGUAAAUAACACAAGAUGUAUCGUGGUUCACCCCAAUGUUUAGGCUAUGUCCACACUGAUUAUUGUAUUUCUCUGAGAGGUGAGGGAGAGCUUUGAGAGAGCUUAGAGCUUAGGGGAUGUGAGAAGGCUUAGGAAUUGGCCUCCCUUAUUUGUGAGGGUGAGAAGUCCUUUUAUAGAAUAAGGGUUCCUCACUUAUUACAUAUUUGCCCAUUCCUUUAUUACAUAAUUACAUUUAAGUCCCCCGAGUAUUUGUACGAGGUCUAAAUACGGAGGCCCUAAGUAUGGUACAAACAAAAUGUUUUAAAGAUGUUGUAUGGGGUUGUAAUAGACCUCAAACUUGAGGGGUUACUAUGUAAUUUACCCUUAAUUAAAAUAAGGGCAAAUGAAGAGGAUGGUUGAACUUGUUAAGUUUCUUAAGUGUGUCUAAUUUAAGUGUGUUGUUAAUAAACAUUUAUUAUGGAGGCAAAGAGAGGGAAGGUGCGGCAUAGAAAGAGAAGAGAGAGAUAUGUAAUUGUGAGUUGUGUUUUAUUCCAUCCCAUUGUGCAUUUAUUUAUAUUAGUUGGGAAAGUUAAUUCUUUAACCUUUUAGGAUUACAACUCUAAUAGGAAAAUAUAUAAUCUAAAAGAUAUGGUAGAAUCCCAUAAGAAUAUCCUAGAUAUGUUAGGAUUUACACAAUCAUAUUCCUAUUCCAAUAGGACUGCAAAACAUUUGUAUUUUUUUAUAAUUUUUUUGAUAAUUUGUUGGCAUUUUCAAUUUUUGUUAACAUUGAAAAUAUAACGGUUCAGAUGAAAAACCUUUGGAAAUCCAACAUUGAAAAUAUAACAGUUUGACGUUGGGCUGUGGUGAAGGAGGCUGGGCUGUCACGUGGGUGGGGCCCUCCCUCUCCCACUUGGUGAUUCAAAGGGCGCAGGCCCGUGCAACAAUUGAGGCAGCCCAUAGAGAUCCUGCGUUUCACCCAUUUGCCAUUUUUUCCACCGCUGGAGCACCAAAAUUCGGUCCAAAGGCAGGGGUUCCAAUUGCAUGGGCAAUUUGGUUUCCGCUGGAGGUGCUCUUUGUCGACUUUGUUUAUUCUUUCUUUUUAGCUUUGCAGUAAUAUUGAAGUAAUCACUCCAAUUGUAUCCGAACUUUUGUUGUCCAUCAAUUUGUAUCAAAACUAUUGGUUAAUUUACAUAUUCAGACUAACCUUCUCAUUAUUUUUAGUAUUUUUAUCAUAAAUAAUAUCUAAAAUAAUCACAUUUUAUUCAACAACCACUCAAUUAAAAAUUAAUUAAUGUUGUUUCUAAACCAUUACAUCGAGCUUUUGUAAAUACACAUCAAUAUUGCAGCGAUCCGAGGCAUUGUUUUCUACGCCUUGGAUUUGGCGAAUUGGAAAAGAGAAGAGUUACGAGUAAAAGUCCCUCACAUUAAGAGGGCUCCUCCUCGGGGAGAUGAAGAUGAUGAUCUUUUGUUUUUGUUUCUUAAUGAUUAAUCCACGCAGCAACAUAUAAUUAGAUUGUUGGGAUCUACUCAAGUUCCAUAUCACGCACUAAUAUAAAGUUUGACAAACGAAACGAAAUAUGUGCUCUCGAAAGCAAAAUGAGGGCACUGCUCCAAGAACAGGAAGGGCUCCUUGUCGAGGUUGCCAUCCGCCAUGAGGGAAAACCGGAAGAAGUUAGACAACAAUGAUGACAUCGAUUUGCAACACCCAUAUUGGGACAUCAAACUGUGAAAUAAAUACUCAAAACUCCUGGAAAGUCCUCGGGACAACAAACUUUUAUCUCCUUCAAAUAUUUCAUUUUACCAAGUUUUAUGUUUGAAGGGAGGGAAAAAAAGAGAUGAGAGAAUCCUACUCCUUAUUCUUGAAUAUAUUCAGGAAUAACUAUUGAAUAAAGAGAGAAUGGAAGGGGAUCGAAAGAGGAGGGAAGAUAAUUCUAGUCCCAAACAUAAAAAGGACCACAACUUUUAAAUUAUCAGCACGAUCAUCAUCUGAUUGAAGAGACCAUUCAUUGUGAAACAUAUCGUCAAUCAAUAUGUCUAUAUCUAUUUAUAUACCACAUUUUUGGAGUAGGAUUCUCCCCCCUCCUAUUACCAUCCCCUUCCAUCCCCUUCCAUCCCCUCCUUUCAUACUUUUUUUUUUCUUAUUCUCUAUAUAAAAAAUUCAAAACAAGAUGUAGAUGUGUCGUAAUCGCAAUAGUUUAAAUAAAAGGAGAUGGAAGGAGAGAUAAAUUACGAGGGGAGAGAAUCUUACUCCCACAUUUUUCUUCUUCAUAAACAAAAGAGAGGUUCUAGAUUACUUGACUCUAUGCCUCAUUUUUUUCAUCAAGUAUUUGUGCUAAACGGGUUCAGUUUCAAGUAUUUUAGUUUUUUGUCAAAAUUGAGAAAACUGAAAAUCAAACAUUAAUAUGCAAAAUUAAAAAAUCAACACAUAAUUAUUUAGAAAUCGCAAUAGAAAAGAAAAAAUGGAGGUUUGUGAUGAAAAAUCUUUUAUACUAAGUAAUUUAGUAUCCUUAUGCAUGAAGAUAAUCAAUUCGUUCGUUAUGGUCAGACUCUUUUUGAAUUUUUGAACACAUUCUCCAUAGGGCCUUCUUAUUUGUUCCUUCUCCGAGUUGGGGUUAUGGAAGAAGUAAAAGAAGGAACCAAGAAGAAAGUAUUGGCAACAACCGAUUUCGUUACGGGACAACUCUUGAUAUUCAUAUCGAUCUAUUAUGUACCUUUGCAUCUAGCAUUAGACAAUAACUGUCAUAGCUUUACCAUAUUUUUUUGUUUCAUUUCUUCUGAAACAAUAACACACACUUUUUUAUUAUGUGUCUAAUACUAGGAAUUCAAUACAUAAUCUUAGCAUUCAAUAGUUAUUCCUGAAUAAUUUCAUUUUUCAAUUGAUCAACCAUUUCAUUUUUCCAAGUUCAAUCAAUGUUAGUCACAUUAGUCAACAUUUAUAUAUUUUGAUGCAACAACAAUAUGUUAUUUGUAACAAGUGAUUUUGCUAGUUGGUUAAUUGGUCACAAGUUAAUGUUCGGUUCAGUUCAGCUUUUCUCUCGAUUUUUUGCGAUUCGGUUUUUUCGAUUCUCUUUAGAUUCGGUUCGAUUUUGUUUUUUUAUUUAUACUUAAUUUUUUUUAAUCUGAAAACACCAAGAACAACACAAGCAUACUCAAUCAAACAACUAUCCUUCUCCACAAAUCACAGUAAUAAUUACAUUCAUUUAGCUAAAAUGCAAAUAACUAACAAACUCACAAAAAUCGAAUAAAAACUACAAAUUGCUUACUCUUUUUCUUUGGGUUUCACUCGAAAAGUGUCGGUAAAAUUUAGGGUUUGCAAGAACGCAACCGAAAUCCAAAACGGAGGCUCUGUGGCUUGUGGGCUGCUAUUGAGUUCCAGUACGGAAAACCUUGCUUACUCUCUAUCACGGUACAAAGUAUCAGUACCUUUAGCACUGUAUUUGGUAGAACCAAAUUAAAAGCUAACAUCAAUAACAACUACCAGAGACAUAAGCUCUUAUCAAUGCUUUGGAAACAGUCAUGUAUCUCCAAGUGUAAUGAUAUAAUUAGUAAGAAAUUUAAAAGAAAAAUGGUGAUUUCAUAUAAAAUCAAUAAAAAGUUACAAUAUUGACAAUAUAUCAACAAUUUUUAUGGGGUAAAUUACAUAGGACCCCCUCAGGUUUGAGGUCUAUUACAACCCCAUACAACAUCUUUAAAAUAUUUCACUUUCAUACCUCACCUACUAUUUUAUUUCAAUAUAGUACCUCCAUUACAUUUUCCAUCAAUUGAUCCAUUAAGAGCUGAAUUGGUUGCCACAUUUGACACGCCCCGAUCCCGAUAUCCUCGGGAUAUCAGGAUGGUCACGUGCUGGCCGACACCCGAGGGUGACGAAAGCCAUUUAUUGAGUGCAAUUGCUGAAAAUAAAGGAUAGAUAAAACUUAUAAAUGUAAAAGAAUAAGGAAUAUGCAUUUAAGGAACGUGUUCAGAGCAUACAACUAACUAGAACACUAAAAGAAUGAUAUAAAAUGGAAUGAAUAAAAGAAUGAGUCUUACACCAAGAGGACUCGAAGAUGCCGAUGCGGAAGUACCUUGAUUGUCGGGAUUGUACGCCUCGAUCCUAAAUCCUGAAGGGGGCGCAAAACAAACAUGAGUGGACCAAGUUGAUAUAUAUAUAAUAAAACAGUUAUCAAUAUACUAACCCCCAGGUUUAUGAAAACAAAUAUAUAAUGAUGAACAUAGGUUUUCCGAAACCUAGCAUGAUGUGCAGUAUCUCAAAUCAUAACUCAUAUAUAAUAAUCACUAGUGAAUUGUCCGAUAACCUGCAGGCCCCAUGCCGGCUCCCCGUCUCUGAGCAGACAGUCAGAGGAAAAUACACUUCAGGCCCCAUGCCGGCUCCCCGUCCCUGUGCUAAAUAGCCAGAGGAAACACACUCCAGGCCCUAUGCCAACACCAAACCGUCGCCCGGGACGGACCGGAAUCUAUUCCUACGUCCCGUAGCGGAAAUGACCACUAGGUAAGUACAAAACCAUUGAACAUACAUAUAUUGAAAAACAACUUCAUAGUAUAAAGUCAUCCAUCAUCUAUACUAUAAAGAGGUGUUCGAAACAUGUUCUAAAUAUCAUAUCGUCAUCCAUCAGAUAUUCUAUAAGAACACGGGUUAUAGGAAAAAUAGUAAUAAUUCAAGGUAGCCUCAGUAAGCAUGUUAUCUCAAAACGUUUCAUAAAACGUAAUCAUUAAAUCAUGCAUUUCAUGUAUGCAUUUCUACUAUUAAAACAUGCUUUUGAAGGGGUCCACUCACAGUACUUAGCCGCCGAAGAGCCACGCAAACUAACGUCACCAAUAUUGCCCCUAAGCACAUAAAUGGUCCAAUUAAUAAAACUAUAUAAUAGCAAUUGGAUUUGGGAAAACGGACGUUGGAAACGGAUUCAGAACGUCGAAUUACCCUAAGAAGGGUCCCGGACGAAAACCCGAAAAGUCAACUCUAAAGUCAAUGUUGACCGGAGGUCAACGGUCAAAUUAGGUCUAACGGGUUUUAGGCUUGAAAUCCGGAUUAGGGUUUAGGUUAAAUAGGAUUAGGAUUUAUUGGGUUUUGGAAUUCUAAGGUUUUUGGGUUAAAAGGGUUUAGGGUGAAAAUGGGUGGUUUGGGCUUAAUCCCAAACUCACACACAACACACACACACACUACACAAACCCUAAAACACACACACACACACGGGCUGCACUAGGGCAGCCCUCACAACACUUCACAAAGGCCCUAAGGCCUUAUUAAAGGACAGGGCUUUAAGCCCUUUAAAGGAUACUGGCCCAAGGCCCGUCAAAAUAAGGCCCGAGGCCUUUGGGUUUUAAAAAGAACAAGAACAAAUUUAAAAGAAAAGGGGCUGGGGUCUACUGGGCUAAGAUAUAACGGGCUUAAGGCCCGUGGGGUUUUCUAAAGGGCCUGAGAGGCCUGGGUUUGUCGAAGGAGAAGGCCGGAAUUUCGGCCGGAAAACCACCCAACUUUAAAUGGCCAUAACUUUGUCAAUACUCAACGAAAUCAAGCAAGACAAAAAUGAAAGUUGUAGCCCUUGAAGCGACGAAGAGAAUGGUUCCUCACACGACGUCUAACUCGCCGUGGUUUGGCCGGAAAAUGCCUCGAAAUCCGUCGGACUCGCCGGAAACUGGGUAAGAUUCAAAUGAGUAUAACUUCUUCAAUACUCAACGAAAUUAAGUGAAACAAAAAGGAAAGUUGUAUUACUCGACGAGACGAAGAGAUUGAUACCUUACACGCCGGCCAACUCGCUGUGGUUUGGCCGGAAAUGGCCUCGAAAGGGGCGGUGCUCGCCGGAGCUUACUCCGUGCCGUCGAACUCGCAGGGUAGGGUCCGGGGUUCGUUGCAAGCCUCUCUUCGAUGGUGACUCGGUCCUAGUGAGUCCAGGGGAAGAGAGAGAUGCGAAAGGUUGAGGGAGAGAGAGACGGGAGAGCUGAGAAAGAGAGAGCUACGGGAGGGAGAAACGAAGAAGAAGAAGAGAGAGAUCAGAAAACAUAAAAAAAAUAAACAAGGUGGGCCCCACGGGCUCACCAAUUAAGGCUUUAAAACAAUUUUAAAAUAUAAAAGAGGGUUGGGGUGUUUCAACAUUUGUACCACGUGGCAAAAAAAAAACCUAAAUCUUCUAUACAAAAAAACUAAAAAAACCAAAAAAAGCAAAAUCGAACACUCCACCCCGCAAAAAUCCUAGCAUCUUCCUUUUAUUCCCCACAACCCCAAAUUCCCCCCCAAAACCCCUAAAACCCAAACCCUAAUUCCUCCCCCACAUGAAGAAAAUCCCAGUCCAAUUCAAUCCCAAUUACCUCAAAUCCCACCAUAGAAACCCUAAAUUUUGGUUCCUCAAUCCCUAGAUUUCCCACGCCUCUGUUGCCUACACCUUAUCAAUCUUUAGCUUUCUCCCUCAUCCCCUCCAUGAACGACACUUUCUCUCAUCCGCUGUUCCCCAGCAACGGCACCGAUACCUACGAGGCCUGGUACGGCAACAUCCAGUACCUUCUCAACAUCUCCGCCAUCGGCUCAUUCUUAUGUGUCUUCUUUUUCACCUUGGUCAAGCUUUGAAGCGAUCGCCGCCGCAUGCCCGGCUCGUCCUCCCUCGUUGCUAAGCUCUUCGCAGUGUGGUAUGCUACCUGUCGAGAGAUUAUGCUCCCAUGUGGCGCUGAGGCCAUAAUACUCACGCACCCAUCUACACACCCACACCACCACUACCGUGGACUCUCUCUCACUCUCCCUCGUCUUUGUAGAGCUAGGUGAAGCCUAGAAACCGAGAACUAGCUCCAGCAAACCCCGUGAGUUUCGAGCCAGAUCCCUGCCGACUCCGACCAUCCCAUGACCAAUCUAAGGUACAAAACAUUUCCCCUUGACUCUAUGCUCUUUUUCGUAUGUAGAUCGUAGGGAAAAGCCCACAGAAUGAGAGAGAAUAGUGACCUGAGAGAGUCCACGGUGAUGGUGGUGUGUAGAUGAGUGCGUGCGUGGGUGUACUGUCGGGGAUAGAGUCUGAGAGAGAUAGAGAGUGAAAGAGUCUGAGAGAAGAGUGACUUGCGAGAGUGAGAGAUUCGAGAGAGACUCGGGAAAAGAUUUAUGGGUUUGGGUUUUUCUGGUUUUUUAUUUUUAUAAUAAUAGGGUUAAUAUUAUAAUAUUUUUAAUGUAUAAAAAUUUCUUUUUUGCCACGUGGCAGCCACAUCAGCACAAAUGUGGUAGUUGUAGAUGCAAAUUUCUUCCUCUUGAUCUUGGACAAUUUUGCACCUACAAAACAAUUAACACCUUAGGUUAAGGCCAAAAGCCUCACACACCCACAAUGAAUGGGGGGCUUUGGCCGAAGAACCUCUGUUGCCAAAGUUAGAAUUUAGAGAGAAAGAGUCUUUACAGAAUUUUGGGAUUUUUGCCAAAGUGUUGGAAUGGCUUUCUGGUGAGAACGGGAUCACUUUUAUAAGGAUAGGAAGUGGUCGGCCUAGCUAGGGUUUUUGGGUUUAAUUUAGGUUUAAUUCUUCAAUUUAUUUGGCUAAUUAAACCCUAAAGAAUAAAUUGGUGGUUACAAAAUUGAUUAUUUGUAUAAAUGGGGUAAUAAAAUGGAGAAAAGUGAAAAAGGUUAGGAAAAGGGAGGUAGCUAGCUUCUUAGUAGUUUUAGGUGUGAGUGGGUGUUUUAAUUGAUAAUUAAGGGAUUGAUUAGGUAAUUAAUCCCUUAAUUAAACAAUUUUUAGGGAAUAUGAAAGGAAAUUAUUAUUUAGCUAAUUGAUUAGCUAAAUAAUGGAAUACAAAAUAUAUAGAAUAAAUUAGGCUUUAGGUAUUACCUUAUAGAAAUGAUUUGAUGAAAUAGGCUUUAAAUUGUUAACUAUUUUGGGCACUUUUGACUUGGUUGAGGAUGAUUGUCUGCCGCUCGCACGUAGGAAUCUCGAUAUGCCUUAAGGGUAUUUUUGUCCUCUUUUACCCAAAAAUCCACGUGUCGCCUUGUGAUUAUUUUUGGCUCCACAAAUGCCCCCACACCUGUUGGGCUGCUCGCAGAAAAUGGCAGCAGGUGUAGAGAUCAUCUUGCUUUAGGAAACGUAGGACUACUUCCUCUUUAGAUGUAGAUUCUCUCUUUAAUAGGAAAUUAGGUUCUUCUAGGAAAGGGAAAUAAAUUUCUGUUAAAGCCUAUUUAAGUCUACCUUAAGUGGGUUAUUAAAUCAACUUUGGAGAGCGAUUUCUUAUACCCUACAAGAGAGAGGGAGCUUAGAGAAUAUUUGUUCCCCCUCUUCUAGCAAUCUUCUACAUCUUUCCCGUGCAAAGGAUCGUCUUUCGUUGAUUUCUUCGUCUUCUCCGUGCCGCACCGAUGUAAGAAAAAUUUAAUUUUUUGCUUAUCUUCUUCUUGGAUAGUACUAUUACAGGGCAACCGUUAAGGUAGUGCGGCACGUCUACUGGCAGGGGCUAGGAGUUGGCUCGGCAUCGGUCGAUGAGGCAUUAUGGCAGGGGCCACUGCUUAGGCUGUUUGGCUUGGCUAGAGCCAAUGGCAGCUUGUGCGGCUGGGGUCGCGGAUUGUGGCGUUGGGGCGCAAUGCUAGGCGAGCCACAUGGUUAAUGUCCUUUAGGCUCUUAGACCUUACUCGGGCCAGGCUAGCGACUGAAAGAAAUGAGGAGGUCGUGGGCCUCAUGGGUUGUUGGAAUGUUGGGCAUGCAGGCCUCCUGUCUGCUAGAAUGCUAGGUUGAGCUCCUCUGCUGAGUACCGUGAAUGGCGUUGGCUGCUUAGUUCUUUUUACAGAGAGAAAGGUGGGCUGCUCCCGAAAGAGGAAGUAAAGAGGAUCAAGGUGGAUGCAUUGGCUCGUCUAAUCGCUGUCGUGGAACCUCCUAUGAAUGAAGAUGGAAAUAAGAGAUCUUCCCUGCCUACUCAAGAGAUGCCGAUCGAGAAAAAUUGAAGACUUUCUCCACUGCUGCUCAUGAUGAUUUGUCUGCUGUCGAUAGGCCUGUGAUUGGCAUGACUUCUUCCAAUGGGAAGAAAAAUGAGGCUGCUAGAUCUGAUCAUGUGGUGCCUUCCAUGUUGAGAAUUGCUAGUACAAUUGUUGAUAAGAUUGCUUAGCGCAAAGGUUUUAUCAUGCCCCCAGUACCGAAGUCUGUACCAGGACUUUCGUUUGGAGCAAAGUCUGGUUCACCUUUGGAGAUACUUGCUAUUAUGAAAAGUGGUAAGGUGGACUCUGCUGCUAAAGUGGCGUCAAGGCCCACUCCCUUUGUUGCUGAGACUGAUUCGCCUGCUAGGAAGGAAGAUACUACUUGUAUGGGCAGCUGUGAGAAAUCCACUAAACUUGCUUCUGGGGAGGCUGCUGAGAUCAUUGUGCUUUUGAAACUAUAUCUGCUUGAAGACAUGGACGCUUGUGCCAAGUUUGUUGAUGGCGGUAGAAAGGUUGUUUACCUAAGUUCCUUUGCGAAACAUACGACCCAAUAUAAAAUGACUGCUCUGCUUACUAGGAUGCAUAAAUAGCAAGGUUGUCAAGGAGGUGGCGAAGAUUAUGGCAGCUAAAGCUUAUUCCUCAGUCGAGGAGAUCAAAAGGUUGAAUUAUGAGCUUGUUGCUUUGAAAGAAAUGGAAGAACUGCAACACGUUCGUGUUAGUCUGUUUGAGAAGAAUGAGCAGCUAAACGGUAAGAAUGAUGGGCUUGAGGUUUCUCUAUUUUUCCGGAAGACUUGCUUACUUUUACUUUUGAGGCUUCCAUUGGUGAAGUAGUUGGAGACGUUAGUGCCCAGGCUUAGGCAACCGGGGGUGAAGCACCGGAUGAUGCCGCUGCUAAGAACGUUACGGCUGCUGAAGGUGUGGAGACCAAGUAGUCGUGGGAUGUCCAAGCUGCUGUAGUGUAGUAUUUUAGGUAGCUUUUAUGAUUUUCUUUGUUUUUCCUUGUAGCUCUUGUUUUGCUUGAACUUCUUCGGCCUUUGCUAGUUGUAUAAACAUGUUUUCCUUCGCUUUUCUUCAUCUUCGCUUCUUUUGUUCAUGCCCUAACCUUUAGACUUGAUAGACCAAUGGCAGGCAUGCUACUUUUUUAUAAGCAGACAAGCUCGCGUAGCCUAUGCAGCCGUAAAUGUUGGUGUAGAACUUUGCAAAGUUGUUAGCCAUUAGGUUGGUAACCAGAUACCUUACUUACAGAAGUAGACAAGUCCGCAUAACCACUAGGCUAUUAACCUUGACUUUCUCCAAUUCUGUAGGUUGCGUAGCAAGUAUCACAACACUUUAGGAAUUGGUAUAGGUUGCUCCGCACUUGGCAGAGGUGAAGCCUAUCGACUACGUAGCAUGUCGGCAGUGGAUAAAACUUCCAUAUAUGCGCGCUAGCUUGUUUAACCUUUCACAAGAAUGUGCGGUUGUAUAAGUCUAGCACGGUUUUACUGCUUGAAGGGCAAGCCGUAGGCAGUCUUCCGGAAUCCGUAGGCUACCUUAAUGUACUCGGUAGCAGCUUUAGGGUUCCAGGGCAGCCGUCUAUAGAGCGUACUGCGUAAUGUGCCCCAUCCGUCUCUAGCUCCCGGUUCCCCACAGAUUAGACCAAGAGACCCAAAAUCCUUCAGUUAGUUAAGCCUUGAAAAAGACCAUUGUGGCUACUUCUAGGAAUCCCGGCUCAAGCCAUCGUACAUCUAGUUAUACUAGGGUAGCCAGGCUCAUCAGCGUCUGGAUAUUCGGAGUGUAAAGUUUAUCCUCCCGUCUUAGAGAGCUGACCCAUAUGAGUGUCGGGGAAUUGGUUUACCCUCUCACACUAGAGAGUAAUUAAUUUACCCUCUCGCACUGGAGAGCAAUUAGUUUACCCUCUCGCACUGGAGAGCAUGGUUGGUCCAUCGGGGGGCGCAAUUCCUGCGAUGAGUCCCUAAGAAGGGCGCAGUCUUCUUUUGAAGUGCAGGAAUGAUUAGUUGUUAUAAGCAUGUGAUCGAGUCAAGUUGUGAUUACUUCUAAAUUCCUCAUUGAAAAACGAGUGAAACGAACGAGAACUUAGCCGUAAGGUAGGAACUGCAUAACAACUGGAUAGUCCUCAACUUGUGUGGUGGUACCCAUCGAGCUUCUUGAGUCUUCGGGCUUUGAUGUAGUGGGAGGUUACACAUGGCACCUUUUCAGAUUGUAGGCGCUCUACUGCUUUUCGAACUUUUUUUUUGUUGUGUAAUUGCUCUUGCUGCCUACUCGGCUAAUCUUAUACAGACUUUCUCGGAUGAGAUUCAUCUUUUUGGAGCUUCUCUGCUGGCAGUGAUGAAGGCUUUUCUUAGGACUAGAUCUCUGGGCUGGAACUGCCAGAUUUUGGCCUUUUUGUUGUGGCUGGAAAAGAACCACUGCUGGUAAGUUGUAAUGCAGAUGAUAGUCUGCUCGCACUUCUCCUCUGCCAAAUUUAAGCUUGUGGCCAUCUCCUUUCGGUUGCUCGUCUUUUGGUGUUGCGAUGUGCCCAUAGACAUCCAGGGAGUUUGUCUGGCCAUUUUCUUUUCUUAUUGGUAGGGGAUUUCUUGUGGCAGUCGAGGAUCAUCUUAGUGGAUGUUUUGGCCAGCCUAUUGCCUUGAGGAUAUCUUGGCGUAGACAUGUGCUGCUUGAUGCCAUAUUUUUAGAAGAAUUUCGCCAAAUCUUUGCCCACGAAUUACGGGCCGUUGUUGGUGACGAUGGAUUAAGGUAUGCCAAAUCGGCAAAUGAUGCUCUUUCAUAUGAAGCGCUCUAUGUCCGUUUGAAUUGUGAUCGUCAUGGGCUCUGCUUCUACCUAUUUGGUGAAAUAGUUGGUUGCCACGAUCAUCAUGCAUUUGCCCUUAGUAGUCUGGCUGGUGAUUAGCUGGGAAUCAGAAUGAAUUGAAAGCUUUUUCACCACCAAGUCUUUUGUCACUCGAAGGCCUGCUAGUGGGGCUUUGUACUCUGCUUCGUUGUUAGGUGCUUUGACGCUUAGAGUGAUCGCUUACUCGAGCAUUGAACCGUCUGGGGUGGCAAGAACCACGGUUACUUAUAAGCCUUUGUAGUUGGAUGCGCCGUCGACAUGCAAAUGCCAGAAAUUUCCAUUGAGGGAGUAGGUAUGGCUAAAGUGUGCUCGGCUACCUUCGAAGCGUCGUUGGGCCGCUUUGUUACAUUGUCAAGGCUAGGUUUGAAGGCGCGGUAGAGAGUCGUGGAGCUGGGGCCAUGUUACAUGUAGCAGGAGAUGCUCAACUUCCGGUAUUAGGCCACUCUAGAGCUGAAUAAUGGAGCAAAGGUCGGCUAGGGUCGUAUGACGCGCAGCAGAAGGUAGUGCUCGACUGCUAGUACAUGUUGCUCUUACGUAGAAUCUUCUGAGGCGACGAGGACAAAACUUGCUUUUAAGUGUUCCUUCUAGUGUUCGUCUGCCCUUGGCGUGUCUUUUGGGCUGAGUUGUUGCGUUCGUCAGAAAACUUUGCAUCUGCCAGGGUUUACGUCUUUAUCAUCACGGGUUUGGAUUAGGCGGAAUAGUGCGUCAUGAUGAUGACUGCGUACAUUUGAAGGUAAAACUUAAGCUUUUGGGUUACAACAACUAUCACCAAAGUUAGCUUUUGAAUUUUUAAUAGCAUCGAGGAGAGCUUUUGAACUAUAAAAUACAUGUAGUUGGGCCCCCAACUCUUCUCGCAUGACGGUACAGCUUAUUUCUACUUUAGAUACCGUCAAACAUGCGAAUAAGUCCUCUGCUGCUUCUAGGGAGGUGAUGUUGGGUACUUCUUCAAGCCCUUGAAUGUGCAUUGGCGAGCCUCAUCCCAAAGUGCAUGCUUCUCUGCCAAAGAAAAAGAGUCUACCAGAGUUAGAUAUUCUUUCAUGAUCAAUUUUCUAAAUAGCGGUGGUCUGCUGGAAGGCCUUUUUGGAAGGCUGCUCUAGCUAUUGAGUCGCUGCAUCCGACUAUCAUUGCCUUCUCUGUUUUGAAUCUCUUCACAUAGUCACGAAGUGACUCCUUUGGGUUCUUUUUUACGUCAAACAAAUGGUCGGACUUCUUUUUGAUCGAGCAAUAAGAUGAAUAUUCUUUGGUGAAAACCAAAGAAAGUUCGUAGAAAUUCUAGAUAGAUUGUGGCGGCAGGGUGUAGAACCAAUCUUGUGCCUCGCCUUCAUAGUGGUGGCGAAUAUCUUGCACAUGAGAUCAUCGUUGUUUCGAUAAAGGAUCAUUGUGCUUCGGUAGCGCUUUAAGUGUCUCUUCGGGUCUUCAUCCCCUUUGAAAGAUAUGAAAUGUUGCAUACUGAACUCGCAUGGAGGCUCUGCCAGCUCGAUCUCAUCCGUGAAGGGUGACCUGCUUAUGUUGGUCAUGUUCCGUCGUAGUGCCUCGUCGGUGACCUUGUUGCGUUAGAAAUCAUGCAAUCGCUUGAUUAAAAGUCUCUCUACUUCUUCCUGAAUUUUCAUUUGUUAGGGUAGCAGAGCUCUCGGCUGCCCCUAGCCAUAACUUACUGGUCUAGGAUGCUCUUCCAUGUGUUUGGCUCGUAUACCGUGGAUGCAGUGUAUGUGGUGCGGUCCUAGUAGGUGAGCGAGUUCUUCGCAGGCUGCUAGUUGAACUUGAGCUGGAUUGAGUGACUACUUCUCUCCGUCCGUCGUGCUGCCUACUCCAAUGUGAGGUGAAAGAUGCUCCUUGCAGGCUUAGCCACGAAUGAACACUUUACCUGGAAGGUUGCUCAUGUUGACUAUCAGAGUAUGACCCUAACCGUGAAUGUAUAUUCACCCGUGGGCUUAGUCGAGAGUGCACGCUCCUCCGCGCGCUAAGACGAGAGUAUACGUUAUCUCGGGAGCCCAAUUGGGAGUGUACACUGCCCGAACGCUCGGCUCGUGGCUGGUCGAGUGGCUGCUUGCCGAAACGCUGCGGGAAAGGUUCGUCUGCCCUUGUCCUACUUCGGGAUACCUUGUUUGGGGCACGUUGGAUUCUGGUGCAUUGCAAAAGUUGAUUCACCAAGGUUGUCUGUUGUGCAAGGGUGCUCGUAAACGCUACGACUUGUCGAGACAAGUGUUGUUCGUCAUUUGGAUUGGAAUAGCUUGGAAGGAAUGUGCCUUCUUGGGCAGUGGAAGGGUGGUAGACUCCGGGCUCGAGAUUUGAGUUGGGAAAUGUCAAAUCUACGAAAAAAUGUGGUGAGAAUGCCCCCGGCUCGAUGGUAGGUCCGGAUGGUUGAGAUAGUCUUGGGCCGACUUGGGCUGCUUGGAAAGCCACGGGAGCAGGCUGGGCCACGAGAGUGAGCUGCUCGGCAGGAGUAGGCUGGGCUACGAGAGUGGGCUGCUCGGCAGGAGCAAACUGCUUGGAGUGUGAUGCACAUGGGUGCGAGGCUUGGGCUCGGCUUGGUAACACAUUGAGUUCGGGUUUGGCUUGGAGUGACAUGACUUGGGCCGUGGCCUUGGUGUCGUGAGCCUUGGAUGGCACGGCUCGGGCAGUGGUAGCUGUGCCAUGGACCUCGCCGCGGGUAGUGGUGACCGUGAUGGCCACCGCGGUGGUUGCCAUGGUGGAGCCCCGUAGUGAUGGUGCCGCUCCUAUGAUCACAUUUAGCCUCGUGGAUCGUCGUGGUCCCAUUUCUUGAAUAUUAGAAUUUUCACUUAUGGAAUUUUCUAAAUUUCUAGCCAUUAUAUUUUUCUUAUACGUUUUAUCAAAGAACCUUUGCAAAUAAAAAAUUCUAAUAAUAAGAACGUAUGAAAAAAUAUUCAAAUGGACUAGAAAAUAGAGAAAAACCUUUUUAUGCGAGAGUCUUCUACGAGUAUAGAUCUCAACUCUCAAUGAAAGCACCAAUUUGUGGAUGCAAAUUUCUUCCUCCUUGAUCCUAGACAAUUUUGCACCUACAAAACAAUUAACACCUUAGGUUAAGGCCAAGAGCCUCACACGCCCACGAUGAAUGGGGGGGCUUUGGCCGAAGAACCUCUGAUGCCAAAGUUAGAAUUUAGAGAGAUAGAGUGUUCAGAGAAUUUUGAGAUUUUUGCCAAAGUGUUGGAAUGGAUUUUUGGUGAGAAUGGGAUCACUUUUAUAGGGAUAGGAAGUGGCCGGCCUAGCUAGGGUUUUUGGGUUUAAUUUAGGUUUAAUUAGUCAAUUUAUUUGGCUAAUUAAACCCUAAAGAAUAAAUUGGUGGUUACAAAAUUGAUUAUUUGUAUAAAUGGGGUAAUAAAAUGGAGAAAGGUGAAAAAGGUUAGGAAAAGGGAGGUGGCCGGCUUCUUAGUGGUUUUAGGUGUGAGUGGGUGUUUUAAUUGAUAAUUAAGGGAUUCAUUAGGUAAUUAAUCAAUUUUUAGGGAAUAUGAAAGGAAAAUAUUAUUUAGCUAAUUGAUUAGCUAAAUAAUGGAAUACAAAAUAUAUAGAACAAAUUAGGUAUUAGGAAUUACCUUAUAGAAAGGAUUUGAUGAAAUAAGCUUUAAAUUGUUACCUAUUUUGGGCACUUUUGACUUGGUUGAGGAUGAUUGUCUGCCGCUCACGCGUAGGAAUCUCGAUAUGCCUCAAGGGUAUUUUUGUUCUCUUUUACCCAAAAAUCCACGUGUCGCCUUGUGAUUAUUUUGGCUCCACAACAACCACGUCAGCAUUUAACAGACCAAUGGAUGGAAAAUCUAACGGAGGUAUUAUUUUGAAAUAAAAUAACAAGUGAGGUAUGAAAGUGAAAUGUUUUAAAGAUGUUGUAUGGGGUUGUAAUAGACCUCAAACUUGAGGGUCCUAUGUAAUUUACCUAUUUUUAUGUUAAUUAUGAAUAGGUCAAUCAUGUAGAACCAAAUUAAAAGCUAACAUCAAUAACAACUACCAGAGACAAAAGCUCUAAUCAAUGCUUCGGAAACAUAGUCUUGUAUCUCUAGGUGUAAUGAUAUAAUUUGUUGGAAACUUAAAAGAAAAUUGGUGAUUUUGUAUAUAAUCGAUAAAAAGUUAUAAUAGUGACAAUAUAUCAGUAAUAUUUAUGUUAAUUAGGAAUAGGUCAAUCAUGUAUUUAAUACUUACAUGCAUUUAAAAUAAACACCUUAUCAAUGUUUUUUUAACUGUGCUCAGUUUUUCUCCUUCGCUUUGGUUUUGUUCUAUUGGAUUUUUCAACUAUCAUUAAUUGUGAACAUAACUGAUCAUUGAGACACAAACAUCCAAGGGAGAGUACCGUGGAACAAAAUGUGGAUAUCUUUAUACAUUGUAUGGUAGUAAACCAUCAUAAACACCAUAAUAAUGUAGAAACGCUCUUGGGGUACCUUUGGAUGAUAACUCAUGUAUUUGUUGCCCUACGUAAAGAUGGCUAAUGAUAAUGGAAGUCUAAUUUUCUCAUCCCAAUCUCUCCUGUCUCUCUUGUUCUCUUUUCUCUAUAGUUUAUUUCCAACAAGUUGUGUUAUUUUUUUUUUUUAGUAUUGUUAAGCAACCAAUAGAUUUUAAUUAGCAGUCUUUGUUUUUUUCUUUUAUAUUUUUAAUCAAUUUCAGUUGCUUAUCCGUUCUAGCAAAUUGAGCUCUUUUACAGCAAUUUUUUUCUUUAAAUGAAAUUAUUAUUAUUAAAAGAGUGAGAAAAUUCGAAAUUAUUACAACAAUUUAAAAAAAAGAAGUUUCGAAUCAUAAACACAGAGGGAGUUUACAACAUUUUAAUUAAGAAAUUAGGCUUCAGCUCAACUCAUCUUUGCAACGUCGGUUCCACUUCACAUCAACAUGCAAUGUUUCAGAAGGUCACGCGGUUUUGGGGUUGUUGUGUACCAAUAAUAUUAUAUAUAUAUAAAUUAGGAUUGAAGGAUACACGCAUUUUGUAGAGCUUAUUUUGUUAUGUAUUUUAAUGAUUUAAAUGCUUACGUUUUUCUUCACUACAAAUGAGUGAAUUAAUGAUUUUAGAAUUUGUCUAAUUUUUUACAUUGAUUAUUUAUGAAUAUUGAAUUGAAAUAUAGACGAUUCAAAAAUCGUUGAUAUACAUUACAAAAUGAACUCCACAAAAUAAGCGUCAAAAUAUGUAUAUAAAAUGGACAGCGUGAAAGGCUUGGAAAUUGGAAUAGGUUUGAAAAUUGUGCUUUUUGUAGCAAAUUGUAGCAAAGUUUGCUUGGACUUUCACAACCGUAUAAAUUAUGCCGCAGCACUCUCUAUUUUCUCUCUCGCUCUAUAUCGUGGUCCCUCUCUCUCGCCGUCCUCGAUUGCUCGAACUCACUAUCCUUUAUUGCUCGAACUCACCGUCCUCAAUUGCUCGAACCCACUGUCCUUUAUUGCUCGAACUCACUGUCUCCAACUUCCUCUGUUUGGUUCCCGAUGAAGAUGGUAAAACAGUAGGGGCAAGAAAUUAUGACAAUGUUAGAUUUGCAUAUUAAUCUGGUAGGGCUACAAUUCUCCAAUCCACACCCCUUCCAUCUAUGCUAGUGUUUGUACCCAAUAUUAGAUAUCCGGUCUGUGCAAUCGAGAUCGUUGAAUGAGAAAAAUUCUAAGCCGUGGGAUCAAAUAUAAUGAUGUGGAUUAAAUAAGAAAAAUUUAAAUGUUUAUCUUGGUUGAAUUACCAUGAUAAUAUUGUGGAAUUAUCUUCUGCAUAACGGGAUAGCGAGAAAAGUCCAAGGGUGUAGGGAAGUUGUGUGGCUGACUACCGCUUUUUUUUAUGGUGUCAUUAGUAGAGUAAUAUCACACUUAACAUUUAUUUGUACCAUCUCUCUAAUAAAGAUAAAGACCAUCAAUGCAUAAAUAAUGAUACAAAUAUAUAAUAAGAGUAUCAUAUUUGUAACUAGAAUAGGAGAAGAAAGACUUCAAGAUGGGGUCAGCCAAAUAAUUAGCGUCAGGAUAAAAAUAUGAGUAAUGAUAUUUGUAAACAUCGAAAUUUCGGUAAAUAAAUGUUGACCGAUAAAUCAAAGUUUCAACGCUCAUGUAUUACAUAAAUUUUACACGUAGCGUAUGUCUAAACAAAAAAUCGAAAUAAGUUGGAAAAGUCAUCAAACAGGACACAUGUCAACACCUGGCAGAAACGACUUAUUUCAUCUGGAAUAUUAUAUUCAAAAUUAGGCAUUGGAAAAUUCUAUAAAUAGAAGCCAAUUUCAUUCAUUUGAAGGAACCAAAAUCAUUAGGCAAAAUUCUUGAAGCUCUGAAGCUCUGAAACUCCGAAACUCUCAAGCAUCCAGGUUCCCGAAGAAUCAAGAAAGCUCUCUUCGUUCUUCGUUCUUCGUUCAUCGUUCAUCCUAAGAUCAAGCUCCAACGGCCCUUUAGAUCAACAAUCAUCCACUAAUUCAAGAUCAAGCCCCGACGGCCCUUGAAGAAAGUGUUCUUCAUUCUUCGUUCAUCGUUCUUCCAAGAUCAAGCCCCAACGGCCCUUUGGAUUAACAAUCAUCCACCAAUUCAAGAUCAAGCCCCAACGGCCCUUGAAGAAAGUGUUCUUCGUUCUUCGUUCAUCGUUCUUCCAAGAUCAAGCCCCAACGGCCCUUUGGAUUAACAAUCAUCCACCAAUUCAAGAUCAAGCCCCAACGGCCCUUGAAGAAAGUGUUCUUCGUUCUUCGUUCAUCGUUCUUCCAAGAUCAAGCCCCGACGGCCCUUGGAUCAACAAUCCACCAAUUCAAGAUCAAGCCCCAAAGACCCUUGAAGAACUUCUACCAAUUCAAGAUCAAGCCCUGACGGCCCUUGAAGAAAGUGUUCAUUGUUCAUCAUCCGUUCAUCCCGAAGAAUCAAGAAAGCCUUAUUCGUUCUUCGUUCAUCGUUCUUCCAAGAUCAAGCCCCGACGGCCCUUGGGUCAACAUCAUCAACAAAUCCACACAUCCAACCGUUCUUCAAGAUCAAGCCCAAAAGCCCUUGAAGAUCCGUUCAUCACCGUUAUUCAAGAUCAAGCCUUAACGGCCCUUGAAGAAACACUCAUCCUCAAGAUCAAGCCCCAACGGCUCCUUGAAGAUCCGCUCAAAUCCACCUUCAAAGAUCAAGCCCACGGCCCCUUGAAGAAACAUCCAACAGUUCAUCCAAGAUCAAGCCUCGACGGCCCUUGGAUCAACGAAACAUCUACAAAUCAACACCUUACGGAGAUCGAAUCAGAUGAUCAAAUUAGAGAGAGAUUGUAACCCUAAAUCAUCAAAAUACAAAUAUUAUUUUGUGCACGUUGUUCUUAUCUCUUUCGUUUCAGGAAAUUUUCGUGUUCACAAUAUUCUUACCAUCUAAAUAUACUAUAAUUUUAUACCAUCUUAUGUGGCAAUUGAGAUGGACUUCCACAUAAGUUUUAAAAAAAUCUCAUGUCAGCUAAGGUGGAUAUUUACGAUUUUACGAUUUUACUCAAUGAUUUUUAUUAAUAAAAUAAUUAAAAAAUAAUAAUGAAACCUACUUGCUCCCGUUUUCAAGCCUCAUCGCUGGGCCUCCUCCCUCUUCGCUCUCCAAUUUCACCUUCCUUCACCAACGAUCGAUGGUGCUCGACCCCCUUCAUCAUUGCCAACUGGCCGAAUAUCUUGAUGGUGCUCCCAGUGAUUGUUUUGCUCUGCCACCAAAUCAAGUUUGCAAUUUUAAUGGUUUAUGCCUUCUGGCCAAGUGUUGGAUUUGAUAGGUUUUUAAUUCCAGCAACAUUGAACAAAAAUAUGAAAAGGAUUGGAUACGAUAUUUUCCUCUGUUCUACUGCUGAGGAUUUUCCGAAUAGAAGAAGAUUUGGAAGACAACCUCUUUUCUUUUUUCUUCAUGGACUUUUGGUUAGCACCAAAAUCUUUUCCUAAUCCUCUAUAGGAAUGAAAAUUUCAUUCCAUGUUAUAUCCCGAUGUUGUCCAAGGUUUUGGCUUGAAUUUUCAUUGGAAUUAUCAUAUGUUGGAUCAGAUCAGGUGGAGAGAUGAAACGUAUCUAACAAGGAAGUUGAACGGGUAGGGUUUGAGCAAAAAUAAACAGAAAUUCCACCUAGGUUGACACCUAAGCUUCCACAUCAUGUGGUAUACUAAAUGUGGUAUAAUAAGAUGGUAAGAAUAGCAUUAUUGAAUGGGUAAUGUUAAGAGAAAUUUUUAGUUGUGACGGGAACACGGAUGGUACACCAUGCGUUUUUAUGUAAAUGGUGGAAAAUUUUAAUUUUUAAAUUAUUAACCUUUUAGCACACAUAUCCCACCAUUUAUAUGAAAACACGUGAUGUAUCACCUCGUGUGAUAGUCACAUUGAAAAAUCUCUCGUAAUGUUAGGAAAACUAAAUUUAUAAACAAAAGUUACAAAUUAAAUGAUGGGUUACCAAUAAGAAUGAUUACGUUUAUCAAUGCUUAAAUAAUAAAUCAUUCAUCAACUUCCAGUCCUUUAGUUUUUAAAAUUUUGUCUAACAUUACCCUUUCAAAACUCAUGAAAAUAAUUUUCAAUUUUUUUAACUGAAAAGUGAAAGUUACUAAACAAGAUUUCAGUUUUUAGCUUUCAAAAAAAUAAAAACAAAAGCUAAAAAUAAAAUGGUUAUCAAACAUCCCUAGAAGUCAUUCUUAGUGAUAGUAAGGUCAUCUCCAACCGAAAGAUCCAGGGGGCUAGAGGGCCGAAAAUAGUCUGAAAACCAUUUCCAAUCAAAGGCCAUGCCAAAGGGGUCGUGGACCCCAUUAGACAAAAAAGGGCCAAAGGGCCAACUGGCUGGCCCCAGUUCCAACAAUAACUAGAUGACGUCAGUUAACCGUUAUUUUUGAAUUUUUUUUUUAACAAAUUUUAACUUUCUAAGCCAUUAAACAACAUUAAAUUAAGUAAAAAAGAAAAUUCCUAUAACUUCCUAAGUCAUUAAACAAUAUUAAAUUAAGUAACAUGAAACAACAUUAAACAAUAUUAAACAAAAUUAAACAAUAUUAAACAACAUUAAAUAACAUUUAACAACAUAAAAAUUAUACAACAUAAAAAAAAACAUUUAAGAACAUAAAAUUUAAAUGCCUACUUCAUGCUUCUUUUGGCCCAAAGAUGUGCAACAAGAUCCUAAUGUAGGUACUUGUUUGUGGCACGAGAGCGUAUCAUCCUAACCGUUAGAUUUGAUUUUUUUUUGUUUUCGGCCAAAUUUUUUUAAAUUUAAAAAUAAAUUAUGUUUGACCUUUUGGCCCUCGAUUGGAGAUAGUUUUUUUUGUGACAUGACUAUGUUUAGCCCUAUGACCCUUUGGCCCUCAGUUAGAGAUGGUAAGAAAUAUGACCCAACAAUGUUCAUUAAAAUAUUAAUUUCUUGAAGAGCCAGAGGGCUAAAACGAGCCAUCCUUCGGUUGGAGAUGGCCUAAGAAGAGACUAGAGAUAGAGAGAUUCCUAUACUUAGCUGUGAGAGUUUCCUAUAUAUGAUUUUCAUUAACAAGAUUGAACUGAUUACAUAGAGAAGAAGAUCAAGUAUGGUUAUUUUUAUUUGGGAGACUUUGGAUGUGGUCCUUAGUUAUGAAUAUUAUUUGAUUGAAAUCUUGUUGGUUUUUAAUUUUUUAUCAAGAUCCCUGAAAUUAAUGUGAUAAUUUAUUUCUAUGUAAGUUACUAUAUUUUUUUAAUUAGAAAUUAGAAAUUUUAGUUGUUUAUAUAAAUGAGAUUUUAAAUUAAAAAAACCAUAAUUUGUGGGAUUAAAAAUAUUAAAAUAUAAAUAUACUAUUGUGUGUGUGUGUGUGUGUGUGUGUGUAUAAAUAUGGGUACAUUCAUCAAAAUUAACCAAAAAAUUUAUUGUAUCAAAACAUGGGUACAUUCUUCAAAAUCACAAAAAAAGAAAGAUAUUAGGCUUAAUAACAUUAGUAAAUUUCUUCGAUUAAACUUGACAUGGAUACAUUUUAAAAUCAAAGAAAAAAAAUGUACCCAUAUAAGUUUAAAAAUGGAUUAGAAAAAAAAAUUGAAUAGAUUUUAUACAAAAAAAGGGUACGUUUUACAUAUAACAAAUUGGUAUAUUUAAGAAUGAGUACAUUUUAAGAUUAAAAAGUUUUACAUGAAUGGGUUCAUAUAAUUAGCAUGGGUACAUUUAGCAAAAUAAAAAGUACAAAUACAAAAAAAUAUAUGUGUACAAAUACAAAUAAACUUUAAAAAAUAUGGGCACAAAAAGAAAUUAAUAUAUGGGUACAAAUUAAAACCGAAAAGAAAAUUGGUACAAGUUAAAAAAGAAUUACAAAUUAAAAAUGGGUACAAACUAAAACUAAAAAUAUAUGAUAAAAAAUUUAGUCAUAAAUAUAAAUAUACUAAUUGUAACAUUUUUAACAUUAAAUGAAUAUAUUUAGACAUAAAAAAUAUAUUUUAUUAUUGAAAUAAUUAAUGAUGUUAUUAAUACCCAAGGACCUUGAUAAAAAAUUGAAAAGAAAUAGAAUUUUAAUCAAUGGAGUAGCAAAAGAAAAGAUGAGAACCUAAUUUCUCCUUUGUAUUGUGUAGACAUUAUAACUAUACAUUCAUAAUAACAUGAGUAAUGUUAUAUUUAUCACAUUUGUACUCUUUCUCCAAUAAAGAUAGGGUCCAUCAACACAUGUGGGUUCUAUUUGCCCAUCAACACAUGCGAAUCUCAUUUUUAUUAGAAAAAUAGUACAAAUAUGAUAUGGAAAUUAUGAUAAGAUCGCAAUUUUGUAAUAACAUAUAUACUCAACUAUUUAUAUACCAACUCAUCUCCCUUUAGUGUAGUUAAUAUUGUUUGUUCAACCAAAAAAAAAAAAACUGAACUUGUCAUAAUCAUUGAAUCCAUUUACCAUGAACAAACGGCAGUUUACUAAACUUGCCCUCAGAGUAUAUAUAAAAGGUGAAUCACAAUCUAUUGCAUUAAUAUAAGGAAACAAUUUAUAGGGUUUGACGGGUGACUUAAUAUGCUAUAUGGCACAAUGAAAAUUAAGUUCACACUUUAUCCCAAAUAAGGUGUUGCACCUUUAAUUUAUGGAUGCUGGUUUGACGUGUGACCGAAAUAAUCAAAUUGUAGCCAUUAAUCAUUUUACAAGUAAUAAUAUGUGGUUUUAUUGUUUACGAUUCACACAACAAUCUGCUAGGAAGUAGAAAAUGCAGUACUUGUCCCUCUCACAGAAGUCAUGAAUAAUUAUCAAAUUCAAAGAUAAAGAAAAACCACACAAUUUACAAGAGGAAAGAAAAUGAAGGGAUAAAGAAAGUAAGAAAGGAAUACCUCUAUGGGAGGACUCUUAUUUGCUUCAGAUGCCUACAAUAUUCAUCAUAUAAACACUGAUUAAGUAGUCAUCGAAAACCAAAACAAAUGUCGAACAUAGGGUGAAAAACAGAAAGAAUAACCGCAGCUCAUCAUACCAAUAGAGAUAGAACUGCCCGAUGCCCAAGUAUGACUGAAAAAUGGCAAUCCAAACAUGGCGCCUUCUAGCUCAUCAAACUGUCAAAACCUAGGUUCCACCAAAAAGAUACAAGUCACCUAGUUACUUGUAAAAUAAAAAUCUGUUUCAAAAUAGUGGAAAAUAUUAUUAACAUUGUUCAAAGUCCACAUUGUUGUACCUACCAAGAAACAAGAAGGAUUGUAUCUUAUCAUGAAAAAGAACAUAGGUACCUUUUCAAUUGUAAUUGUACAAAAAUGAGAGACCACUUCCGAACUUCUCUUGGAACUUCAAUCAAUUUCUGCCCACUUUUAAAUGCCUUGACAUACUUAAGCCUAUUUCUUUGAGCUUCAGUUUUGGCUUCUGAUGCCUUUAAAUUUCUUAAAGAUUCUUACCAAGUUUUACAAACUCACUUCUAUACAACCAUUUGUCAGUAUACAUACCAUUUUCUUUGAGCUUCAGUCUUUGCAACACCAAAACCCCCCAAAUAGACCCGGAAUUUUGCAAUGUGCAGGGAAUAUACAAAAAAAACCCUCCUAUCCAUCUAAAACGAAAUCAGAACGCAAACCACAAUCAAAAUCCGUAAAAUUAAUUUAGCCAACCCCUAAAUCUAAUAAUUCUAACAAAUAUUAUAGUAUCAAUUGAGAGAGAAUUUGAGAAGAUACCUAGAGAUGAAAGGAAGAGCGUUUCCUCUGAUAGGGGUUCCGUGAAAGCAUCUGUUGACCAGAAAAGAAAAGGCAAAAAACCCCAAAUUACAUAUCAAGCAAUUAUAGAUAGAUCGAACCUUGAAAAUUGAAAUUUCAAACAAGAGAAAGGUUAUAAACUUACAACGAUCUGGGUGUUGGUAACUGGGUUUGGAUUUGGGUUUCUGAUAAGAGAGAGAAUCGUAUGAGGAACCGAUAGAGGAACUGCACCGGCAACAGAGAGCAAUUGAUAUGGUGGAGAACAGACGAGAAUAGCUGCUUGGAUGGUCAAUCCAAGAAGAGAAAAUCUUGCCACAAUCGCGGUACUUGAAAAAAAAAAAAACAAGUUUAAAGGAGGGAAACAAUCGCGCCUUUUUCUAAUAGACUCUGUCGACGAUAUUCUUGACAAAUAGAUGCUUCGUCGGGUGAGCUUAUUUUUCACAACAUUUUAUUUAGGAUUGGGUUCGGUUGGUAAACCGUGUCAAAUUUCUUGUGCCACUUGCCAGCCACAUAUACAUAAUUACCGAAAAUCAGUUACCGUUAGCCAACCGUCUUCUUGCGGUUGCCAAAAAUCGGUUCAGCCAAAAUGAUUGGCUGGUUCGGUUGGUAAAUGGCACAACCGGUGGUUUCCACUUCUUCCUCGCUAUCUUCCAGUUCCAAGGGCUCAAUUUGAUUUUCAGAUUGGGAUGCUUGUUCGGUUGCAUUGUGUGGUUCAUUUUGGGUUAAUCCAUGUUGUGCACUAGUAGUUGAUUGGCUAGACUCCAUUAUCCUAAACAUAAGCAACAAAUAUACAUUCAAAAUAAUAUAUAUGUACGUGUAUAUAUAGUAUCAGUAAUCAUCAUGCUAUCAAUUUUGUUAACAAUAUUUUCUAUAUAUUGAUUUUGGCAUGAAUCAUAUACACAUACAUAUAUUUUUAAAACCCUAAAACUAAGGAGUCAUUUAUUUUCUAAACUCUAAAAUUGAGGAGUCAAGCAUGUAAAAAAAUACUUAAAAUAUCUAAAUAGAAAAAGAAAAAGAAAAAAAAAUAAAUAUAUAUAUAUAUCGGUAGGUAUGGCAUACCGCCGGCAUACAAAAUCAAUUACCAAAGCCAUGCCAUUAAUUGUCGGUUCGGUAAAAUGCCAACCGAUUAUGAAAAAAUGUCAAAACUAUACCAUACCAUUUUGAGCCAACCAGUAUGGUUUGGUCAGUAAAUCGGUUUAUGGCAAAAUUUCUCACCCCUAAUUUUAUUUGUCACCUUAAACCUAUUGGUUUCUAGCCUACAAUUCGGAUAUUUUGUUGGGGAAAGAUUUUUGUACCAAUAAAAUUUUGCUUUGUCGGCAAAAUGACAUUUUCUAGUAGUUAUAAUAUUAGGUAGAUCAAAUUUGUAAACUAUGUGAUGUGUCACUAAUAGGAAAAAAUUUCAGUGUGCUGAAAAUACGGUCUAGAACACCAAGUGUCAUAAUAUAUACUUGGUUGGAAAUCUUUUAUUUUCAAGUUUCCAACUAGUUGUAUUGUAACAGUUGGUGUUCCAAGCUAUUUUCUCCAUGCGCUGGAAAAUCUCUUCACUAAUUAAAAAUAAACAUAUUAAUUAACACUUAAGUAAUAAUCAAAGCAUCAACAACUACGUCAUAGAAUUUACGAAAUAUGAUCUUAAUUAAUGAUCUCCAUUACCCUUUAUCUUAGCGUAUACGUACGCCUUCACAUGUUUAUUUGCUGAUAUGCAGCUUGAGUAAAAAUUUCUUUUUAAGAACAUAUAUGUGAAUAUAAACAUAUAUAUCUAGUGAUCCAUGUUGCGUUAUUUAAAAAUAAACAAAUUAAUUAAUUAAUGAACUGUGUACCUGUCUGUGUAGAGUAAUCCAUAUGCAUGCUUGAAUCCUGAUCACCACGAAACCAUAAUAUAAGCUACUCAAGGCCCGGAAGCUAGGAUUGAAGAGAAAAACACCCAGUCAGAUUAAGCCAAUACAUCAAAGUUAAUACUUCCAAAUGUAAGCUUUAAGAUAGAAAAAUCACUUACUUCCUUGAGCAGUCGAGCUUCUUCAAUGGCAUGAAGCUUUUAGCAUGAGAUUGACUGCAUCACAACUAAAAUUUUCUCUUGGAAACUACAUAAGGAAUAGCAUGUAUACCUAUAACGUUGAGAAAGUACGCCAAUUUUUUCCUUCUGCACAUUCAUGUUUAAAAGUAAUCCUCAAAUGAACUUGCCCACAAUGAAAUGCAAUUUGAGGUAGUCGAGUGUGUUCCAUUUCCAUCCCAUCGGAAUUACUACUAAACUUUGAGAUGGUAGAGGAUUCAUGAAAUUUUUUACUUUUGAAAUAGUCUCCUUAGCAUUUCUCGACUAUAACAAUGAGGAAAUACUUCACCUUGUAUCAAACAAGGGAGACCGAAAAUCAACUACUAAUAGCAUCACAGAGCCAGCAGAAGAUUGAGGAGGCCAUGAAAAGGAAAGAGAAAAUACACUCUUUUUUUGUAAGGACAGAGAUAAUACAUUCAAUAAAGGGUACUGAUGUUUAUAUGCAAAGCUGAUUAGGUUUAAAUAGUCGUAUUUAUUCUGUACAGUGCCAAUAUUACCACCCGUUAGUACACUUUCAAGACACUGUAAUCCAGUGUAUGCACUAUGCAGUACGUAGUACUCCUCAUUUUUUUGGGGAAAUUCAUUAUUGGUCUUCAUAUCUUCUUUAUUUUCCUUGUCCUCAUUGUGCCACGUGUUUAAAUCACUAAUUAUAGGUAAUCUUUCAAUUUAAUUAAAUCUUAUGUAAAAAAAGAUAAUUAAAUAUCAUUUAGUAUUACAAUAUAGUGAUAUUCCUCUUUAGUAUAAAAUUUUUAUAAUUAAAAGCGUUCAGCUUUUUAAUCUUCAUUGGAAUAUUAUCUAUAAAGAAAAAUUAUUCGAAUCAGAGAUCAUUUAUGCAUUCAAAUGUAUAAAAUACAUCGACAGUGUGAGAACCAACUAAUAUAUUUUUGAUGAAGUACAAUUAUUGAAUACAUUUGAACGAUCAAAUGAUAUAUGAUUCAAAAUACAUAUUAAGAUAAUAAAUAUAAAAGAAUUGUUAUUUGCACUUCAAGAAUCUCAUUCUACACUCUAAAUUUUCUAUAUAUUAAAAGAAAAAUAAAUUUGUGAAAAGUGUAGAAUGAGGUUUUUUUAAAUGCUAAUAACACUUCUCUAAAUACAAUUAUGAAAUUAAUUAAGUAAAGAUACAUGACCUCGUGAAUGAUGAAUGUAUUAUUCAAAAAAAUAUUAAAAACAAAUUGAAAAAGGACGCUGUUGUUGCCACCACUUAUGCAAUGAUCGUCGCUGCCAUCACCAACCCCCAACACCCCAUUACAGCUCAUAAAAGCACAUCAUAAGCAAUUUAUGAAAUAAAUUUACUGGAAUACUAAUUUCCCCCUUAGUUUAGGUCACCAAUGUUUAAAUUUAGGGAUCGUGAUAUCCACACACAUUUUUUACUUCUUUCACACUUUUUUUUUCGGUUGUCGGAUCAGAUGAAUUGAAGAAAAUCAAUGAACAGAAAUUAACAAGGGGUGUGUGAGAAGUAAAAAUGAAUGUGUGGAUAACACACCCCUAAAUUUAUCACAACUUUCAUUCCAAAUUUAAUUUUUAUCCGUAGUUUUGUUUGUUCAAAUUUACUUUGACAUUUCCAUUAGUAUUAAAAUCUAAUUUAAAUUUUAGUGUUCAAGCUAGAAAAAGUGUUCCAUUUAAUAUUUAAUCUCAGUUUUUCUCUUUAUUCUUUUAUUGGGAUUUGGUUGCAUCGUAUCUCCAUUUUUCUCGGUGUUGUAUGUUCAUAAGGCCUGUGAAACGUUGGCACGGAGUGAAGGGUACUCACUUUUUGGCCCAAAAUGCAUAAGGCAUGUAGAUAUGUUAAUCAAAUUUUGUAAACUAAAGGAUAUAGAAGUUGAUAAUUAGAUUAUAAUUUAAGAUAAUACUAAGGAGACUAAAUUUGCAAACUAAAUGAUGUGUCACCAAUAAAAAUAAGCACGUUUAUCAACAAUUAAGUAAUAAAUCAAUCAUCAACUUUCAUGUCCUUUAGUUUCCAAGAUUUAAUAUACAAAUUUAGUCUCCCAAGCAUUACUCUAUUACUUAAGUAUUGAUUAACAGACUUAUUUCUUAUGGUGACACAUUAUUUAGUUUACAAUUUUAGUCUACCCAACAUUACUCUUUUGAAAUUGUCUUGUCCACUGAUAUAAUUCUAUUUUUCUUGUGAUCAAAACUUCAAAUGUUAGCAAGUCGCACGUAAAGUCGCUUAUGAGAGAAUGUGCUCACAUUGUAGUUGAAAGAUUAUGUGGCUAGCAACAUUACAAAUUUAAUUUGGUAUAAUUCUAAAAUAUAGAUUGAGGAAAAAAUGAUCACAUUAACUAGAAACUGAAAAGGUUUCAGCACAGUUUGUUCAAGCAAGAAAUUCAAUUUUGAUGCUACCGAUCUUAACAGCCUGAGCGCCGUACCUGGGCACCAAAGUCACCACCACACUCUCAUCAUCUUCAGCACCCAAAUCCUCCAACAGGUCCGUUAACCCCAACCUUAAACAACUCUUGCUCUUUUCCUUCUGCUUAUGUGGCACACUCACAAAACUCCCAGCAAACUCGCUCUUGUCGGGUCCACUCGGUGCCGCAUCCUCAUCGUCCACGUCAUUCACAUACACACAUCAAACUUCACAGCCACAUCUUUGUCAAGCUCAAUCCCCUGAAUCACCAAUAUCUCCUCCUCAUCCUCUUUCUCCUUCUUGCUCCUCUUCUUCGGCUUCGGCCUUGACACCACCGUACUUAUCUUCGUCUCCAAAUUUAUUGGAAAAUCUUUACCCGCCACCACCUUCCCUGAUGACGUCGUCUCAGUGGCCUUCGCCACUCCAGCCGCCUUUGCCUUUCUCGCAAGCUUUGUCCGACGUGGCGUCGGUCUAGACUUGAGCCAUGGAAUCUCAACAUCUUCAUACGUAUACCCUAGCUUUUUAUUAUCAAGAGUGUCCCUCACCGUGACCCUAACAAGCUCAGCAUUCUCGUCAUAAAACAAAAACCCCGUAUCCAACCAAUCCUUAUCGUUAAUAUCGUUAUUUUUAGUCCCUAUACUUUUCCAAAUAUUCCACAUUCGAUCUAUAUUCGAAUGGUGCGAAAAAAAUAUUGGAUCCCUUGCAGCGGAGUAAAAAUUCCCCAUGUCUUCAAAAUUAGGCUGCGUGUUAUCUCCGGUCCAUAAAUGAACCGGACCAUGUGGGGUCGUUUCGAUUGAACCGCCCCCUGGAUCUGGUUCAGUGUCAGCCCUGUAGGGCGAACCAAAGAACAACAGCGGUUUCUUGGAGUUGGAAACCAUCUGCCUAUACAUGAUUUUGAGGUUGGCGUCGAUUUGAGCAUCCUUGGACAUUGUUUCAUCCGUGCCGUUGAAGUCAAGAUCGAUGAGAGUCGGCGGCUGAUGGCUGGCAGCGCGGAGCUCGUCGUAAAGCGGAGAGUCCGGGUUAGCGAACAAGGCAGGGAGUUGCAUGCCAGCUGGCGCGUCCCAGUUCCAAAACGGCAACGCGAACGUCGGAUCGUCUAUGAGUUUGGCCAAGAUUCUUUCGUAGAAGUAUACGUAGUAACGAUGGAAGGGGAAGAAAAGCCAGCAUUGAUGGAUUUGGAGCUCGAGGUUGGGGAAGCCGACUUGGUCGUACGCGCCGUCGCAAUAGGCACAGUGGAGAUCGGCUUGCUGGGUGAAGCUACGCGGAUCGUCGUCCGGGAGGGCUUUCAUGAGCUCGAUGGCUUUUGAAUAUUUUUCGAUGUAGGCUUUAUCCACGGUGUGAGCUGCCGGCCUGACGCGGAGUUUGGUAGGGGAGGGGAAUUUGAAGUCUACGAUUUUUUGGGACGUUGGCGGGCAACAGUUGAUCGGGACUGCUCCACUUGGAAAGUCCGCAGCUCCGCAUUUGGCUAGGUCAGGCGGCAACACUGGCUUUGCAACAGCGAAGGGGUCGCUGCCAAGACCAGCCACUCCGGCUUUGCAACAGCGAAGGGGUCGCUGCCAAGACCAGCCACUCCACCGUAGAGGCUUCCGAGACCUAUAAGAAGAUAGAAUUCAGUUCUUGGCAGUAGAGGACUCUAUUGCAGGGAAAAACUGAUUUGAAUUAGGAAGGCUUAAGUAGUUUUCCAUAAGGAUUUUAAUAGGGAAUCCAUAUUCUAAUAUGAGAAGGAUAUGUGUGUACAUAUAUAUAUAUAUAUAUGGCAAUCUCUUCUCUCACAGGUGUGUGCUCUUUUGGAACUAAGCCCUAUUCUUAGUUUGAGUGAUAAAUACCCUGACAGAGAGAAGAAGAAUUGAUGUGCUUUUCAGGUUGAUCGAGAUCCACCAUGACUGCAUCAAACGGGAGUUCUACAGGUUAGUAUAAUUAGGUUUUAUUUGGAUUGAUGUUUUGUGUCUACUUGGUUGUAGUUUAAGUAACUGAAUCUUGCAGCUAGAUUUUGGUUUACAUGUGGUAUCAGAGCCAUAGAUUCAUGUUCUUAAAUUCAAUCGAUAAAAUUGAUUGAAUCCAAAAUAAAAUUCCGAUCUUCAGACUUCGAAACAGGUUCUGGUAGUUAAAAUUAGGAAAAGAAGAAACGGUGCGUUUUGAUUAAAAUAUGAUGAUUAAUACUUGACCGUUAAGAGCUAAUAAACUAUCUUCUCUUCCGAAUUGGGAAUACAAAUCGACAUCUAUCGAUUUCGAUUUCGGGGUUUGAAAAACUGGGUUAUAUGACAUCUAUCGAUUUCGAUUUCGAGGUUUGAAAAACUGGGUUAUAUGAAUUGUUAUUGAGUAUCCACAAUUUAUAUUAAUUGCUUCCGCUGCUGGGUGUUGAUGCUCAUAGAACAAACGGGUAUGUCUCCUGAACAUUGAAUUGAAAUUUGUUUUUUAAUCAAUCUUAUCUUGAAUUUCAUUAUGUUCUACAGCAUGAUUCGAAUAGUGAGCAUAAAAAUAUGCUUAUUUAUGCUGAUUAGUCCUAUGUUUAUGCGUUUUUCUCUAACCAUCUAUGGAAGGGAGUUCUUCGAUAAGAACCUCUGCAGAUUUCACUUGUUUUAUGCAGAAAGUUUUAUGAAGAACUGUUCAUUUGAUAAAGAUCUGCUAAAACUGUGUUCUUAAAUGGAAAAAUCUUUUAUUCUAUAUGUGCUUAUCAAUUCUUCAUUGUUAAGAUUAUAUAUAUGGAUAAAAGGUUUUGAUGAUAUGAUGUACAAAGGAUUGUGAGAUGAAAUCUGGAACUCUAAACGUUCUUCUGUGAUUCAUUGUGAUUUCAUUGUGCUACAGUGUCUGCAAUAUCAAUGAAGACUCUGAAUUUGGCUAACAUCCCAAUUCUUACUGGUGGGGGAAAUUACAAGAAGUGGAGAAGGGAAAUCAGUUUGCUGUUGACUCUAAACGAGUUUGAUAUAGCAAUCGAGAAUCCCAAACCCGUGGUCAAUGAUCAGAGCAGCACAAGGGCUGAAAAGGCAGAUUUUGAGAGAUGGACAAGGGCUAAUAAGGUAGCAUUGUCCAUCCUUGAGAGUGGCAUGACUGAUACAAUCAGAUGAGGAAUUAAGAAGCACGAUUUGGCUGCUGAUUACCUAAAAGCUAUUGAAAAGAAAUUUCAAGAAUCUGAAAAAGCUGAAGUGAGUCAGUAUAUGUCUUUAUUAACUACUUACAAGAUGGAGGGUACAAGCUCUAUAAGGGAUCACAUAAUGAAGAUGACAUAUGCUGCAGAAAGACUCAAUGCAAUGGAUAUAAACAUAGGUGAAAAGCAGUUAGUAUUCAUGAUUCUUCAAGCACUUCCCAGUAAAUAUAGUCAGUUGAAGAUCUCCUACAAUACUCAAGACAAAAACUGGGAUAUUGAUCAGUUGAUUGCACAGUGUGUGCAAGAAGAAACUCGUCAAAAACAAGAAAGAGGCAAAGAAGUUGAGGACAUCAACUUUGUGCAAACUAUAAAUGACAAAAAGCAGUUCAACAACAGAAGCUUUUCUGGUUCUGGUAAGAGUUCUAAGCCUUUUAAAACUUCUAAUAAGUUCAGUAAUUCUGCUAAAGUAGUUGACUCCCCUAGAAAAUCUAUCAAGUUUAAAGCUAAACCUAAAGAUGUGUCUAAAUUAAAAAUGUUUUUGGUGCAAAACUAAGGGCCAUUUAAAAGUUAACUGUGAAAUUUUCAAAGAUUAUGUAAAGAGCAAAGAAAAGGAACAAGUACUUGUCUGUAUUGAAUCAAAUUUGUGAAGUAUACCUGUUGAUUCUUGGUGGUUUUGAUAUACCGGAUGCUCAGUGCAUAUAACUAAUUCUUUAAAUGGUUUUCAAAAACAAAAGGAAUUUGGAAAUGCUACAUAUAAUGUUUUUGUUGGGGAAGGAACUAAAGUUGCAGUAGAGUCAAUUGGGAUAGUCAAAUUAGUCUUAUGUUCUGGUUAUGUUUUAGAGUUGAAAGAUGUGUGCUAUAUGUGCCUAAGAUGAGAAGAAACUUAAUUUCUGCCCUCUAAAAUUGUAAAAGAUGGUUUUUCUUUUCUUGGUGAUGAUGAGUGCCUCAAAAAUUUUCAAGAAAAACUGUCCUUGUCCUAACACUAUUUUAGGGACUGCUUUUUUGUCUGAUAAUUUAUGGAAUCUAAAUUGCACUGUUAAGGCACUCAAUCACACGAUUUUCAGCAUUAGUACUAAGAGAAUGAUAGGUCAGGAUACUUCAUACAUUUUAUGGCACAAAAGACUAGGACACAUCUCUAAAGAAAGGAUAAUUAAGCUGUAAAAAACUGACUUGAUUCCAAAAUUAGAUCUUUCUACUGCAACUGAAUGUGUUGACUGCCUAAAGGGUAAAAUGACCAAUUUUAGAAAAACAGAUGCCAAAAUGAGCCAGGGGUUACUUGAAAUCAUACACACUGAUAUCUGUGGUCCUUUUCCAGUUAAGACAAUAUGUGGAAACAAGUAUUUCAUUAAUUUCAUAGAUGAUUUUUCAAGGCUGGGAUAUACCUUUCUGAUUAAUGAAAAAGCUGAUGCCCUUAAGUGUUUUAUAAUUUACAAAACUGAGGUUGAAAAACAGUUAGGCAAGGUUAUUAAAAUUGUUAGAUCGGAUAGGGGAGGUGAAUACUUUGGCAGGUACACUGAAUCCGGGCAGCAAAAGGGACCAUUUGCUCUCUAUCUCGAGAAGAAUGGUAUUGUGGCGCAGUACACCACACCUGGAACGCCUCAACAGAAUGGUGUUUUUGAAAGAAGAAACAGGACUCUUAUUGGUAUGGUUAGAAGCAUGAUGUCCAGAUCAAAAUUGCCAGGAUUCUUGUGGGGAGAAGCUUUGAAAACAGCUAAUCAUAUAUUGAAUCGAGUUCCAAGCAAGGCAGUAUCUACCACACCCUAUGAGUUAUGGCAUGGGAGAGUUCCUAGUUUUACUUAUUUCCAUGUUUGGGGUUGUAAAGCAGAAGCUAAGUUAUAUAAUCCUAAUGAAAGAAAGCUGGAUUCAAGGACUCAGUCAUGUUAUUUUAUUGGCUAUCCUGAGAAAUCAAAAGGAUACAGGUUCUAUAUCCCUCAAGGUCACACUCGGAUCCAAGAGACACACAAUGCAGUUUUCCUAGAAGAUGAAGAUGUCUCUCAUUUGUCAAGGGAAAAUUUCAUAUUUGAAGAGAUGCAUUCAGAUGGUGGGGACCAUGUGACAAUGGAUUAUAAUAUCGGUCUCAUUGUUUCCCAAUCAAUCAUCAAUUGCCAUUGAAGAUAUGAGUGAAGAUUUAGGAGUUCCUGAUGACAACUCUGUAGGAGUUGAUUCCACAACAUAAGCUGCAACAAUUCCUUUUGCAGAAGCAUGUGAACCAGUUGCUGUUCCACCUCCAGUUGAAAUCAGAAGGUCACAAAGAGCUCGGAAAACCACUGCAAGCAAUGACUAUGUGUACUUAUAAGAGACUGAGUUCGAUAUUGGUGACAUUUGAUGAUCCUCUUACAUAUACUCAGGCAACUGAAAGUCCUCAAGCAGUUCUUUGGAACAAUGCAAUGAAGGAUGAGUUAGAUUCAAUGUCCAAAAACCAGGUUUGGACAUUGGUGGAAUCCAACUCUGAAAUUAGGCCAAUAGGCUGCAAGUGGGUAUAUAAAACCAAAAGGGAUGCUGCUGGAAGAAUUGAAAGAUAUAAAGCAAGGUUGGUUGCUAAGGGGUUUACUCAAACGGAGGGGAUCGACUAUAAUGAUACUUUCUCUCCAGUUUCCUCCAAAGACUCCAUGCGAGUUAUCAUGUCUUUAGCUGCCUACUUCGAUCUUGAAUUACAUCAAAUGGAUGUAAAAACCGCUUUUCUUAACGGAGACUUACAAGAGGCUAUAUACAUGAAACAACCUGUUGGAUUUGUUGAAAAGGGGAAAGAGAAUUUAGUAUGCAAGCUCAAUAAGUCCAUAUACGGCUUGAAACAAGCAUCAAGGCAAUGGUACCUAAAGUUUGAUCAAAUUGUCUCUGCAUAAGGUUUUGUAGAAAACAAACUGGAUGAUUGUAUAUACAUUAAGUUCUCAGGUUCCGAGUUCAUCUUCUUAGUACUUUAUGUUGAUGCCAUUCUCCUAGCUAGUUCAUGUCCCCAAUUGCUUCAUAGCAUUAAGAGAAUGCUAAGUGAUAACUUUGAGAUGAAAGAUCUUGGAGAAGCACAUUAUGUACUAGGAAUAGAGAUUGUUCGAGAUAGGAAAAUGAGGCUCCUUGGUUUAUCUCAAAAGGGGUACAUUGACAGAGUGUUGGAGAAAUUUCAUAUGGCAAAUUGCAAUUGUGGUCAGGUUCCAGUCAAUAAAGGUGACAAGUUUUCGAAGAUUCAAUGUCCAAGAUCUGAUUUGGAGGUGAAGAAAAUGCAAGCUAAGCCUUAUGCCUCGUUGAUUGGAAGUCUUAUGUAUGCAACUAUCUGUACAAGGCCUGAUAUUGCCUUCAUAGUUGGUAUGCUAAGACGAUUUCAAGCAAAUCCUGAGAAGCACAUUGGGGGUGGCAGCCAAGAAGGUUCUUCGAUACUUGCAGAGAACCAAAACUCACAUGUUAGUAUAAUGGCCGAACUGAUUCUUUGGAGCUCAGGGGGUAUAUACUCGGAUUUAGCUGGAGAUGUGGAUGACAGGAAGUCCACAGGGGUUAUAUCUUCAUACUCAAUGGAGGGGCAGUUUCGUGGAAAAAUGCAAAGCAAACUAUUAUAGCCACAUCAACUAUGGAAGCUGAGUUUGUAGCCUGUUUUGAAGGCAUGAAACAGGCAGCAUGGUUGAAGAAUUUUUUGACAGAUUUAAAGAUUGUGAAUUCGGUUCAGAAACCAGUAACAAUGUUCUGUGAUAAACAACUCGGCUGUGUUUUUUGCUAAGAAUAAUAAAAGGACUUCAGCAUCUAGAUUUGGAUGGACGAAGUUUCUUAAGGUCAGAGAACAAGUCAAGAAAGGAGUUAUUGAAGUACAGCACAUUAGCACUACUAUGAUGAUUGCUGAUCCCUUGACUAAGGCACUGCCAAUUGGAGAAUUCAAGAAACAUGUUUCUUCAAUAGGAGUACUAGAAGGUUUUGAUCAGUGGGAGUAAUCACGUGUGUGUUAAAGGCUUGGGAUUGCAGAAGCAGAAGUAUAUAUGUGUUUCAAGAACUGUAUGUGCAAUUCUGACAAGCUGAACUAAGGAUGCUUUAUGUUUUAACUUGCUUUAGUUAGUUUGUUAAGGUUGUUUGUGUUUUAAUAAGUGUCCUUGUCUGCUACUCAAUACUUUGGCUUUCAGGUGUUGAGGUACGGAUACUGGACUGAGUUAGAAUUUAGUUUCAUUAGUAACUUUGAAAGAACAGUUUGUCUGUUUUUUAAGUUUGUGGUUAAUGAUGUUAUAUAGUCAAUUACUAUGUUGCUUUUCUGUGAAGAUUAAUGUGUGUUGUGAUCUUUUGAAAAGUGGGAGCAUAAUGUUUGACGGUUUAUGUUAGUCAUGAGUCAUAUUUACAAAUUGAAUAUAUGUGAGCCUUGAAUUAAUACUACAAUUUGGUUGUGGUCUGAGAUUCUUGGUUUCUAUAUUUUGAGAUGUAAUGGGACAGUGGUCAUGAUGGUUAAAUCUUAGAUGAGGUUAUGUGAUCACUUCUUAUGAUUGGUGACGGCAAGGUUUGAUCUUUGUCUCAUGUUCAAGUGGGAGAAUGUAAGAAUGUGAACAUGAGAUAAGAUGAUCGGAUAUUAGUUGUUUGAGUCCAAUCCGAAUAAGAAAGCCUCUAAGAAGAUGGAAUUCAGUUCUUGGCAGUAGAGGACUCUAUUGCAGGGAAAAACUGAUUUGAAUUAGGAAGGCUUAAGUAGUUUUCCAUAAGGAUUUUAAUAGGGAAUCCAUAUUCUAAUAUGAGAAGGAUAUGUGUGUACAUAUAUAUAUAUAUAUGGCAAUCUCUUCUCUCACAGGUGUGUGCUCUUUUGGAACUAAGCCCUAUUCUUAGUUUGAGUGAUAAAUACCCUGACAGAGAGAAGAAGAAUUGUUGUGCUUUUCAGGUUGAUCGAGAUCCACCAUGACUGCAUCAAACGGGAGUUCUACAGGUUAGUAUAAUUAGGUUUAUUUGGAUUGAUGUUUUGUGUCUACUUGGUUGUAGUUUAAGUAACUGAAUCUUGCAGCUAGAUUUUGGUUUACAUAUUUUUCGAUGUAGGCUUUAUCCACGGUGUGAGCUGCCGGCCUGACGCGGAGUUUGGUAGGGGAGGGGAAUUUGAAGUCUACGAUUUUUUGGGACGUUGGCGGGCAACAGUUGGUCGGGACUGCUCCACUUGGAAAGUCCGCAGCUCCGCAUUUGGCUAGGUCAGGCGGCAACACUGGCUUUGCAACAGCGAAGGGGUCGCUGCCAAGACCAACCACUCCGGCUUUGCAACAGCGAAGGGGUCGCUGCCAAGACCAGCCACUCCACCGUAGAGGCUUCCGAGACCUAUAAGUACAUUUCUUCUGUCUAGGUUUACUAGAGAAGGGUUUUCAUGGUCGUGAUCGUUGGAGCUAGUGGAAGGGUUUUUGUUUUGGUCACUACUAUUAUUUGUGGCUUUGCACGAGACAGCUUGUAAAUUGGAAUGCCUAGGGUUUCCAAAUGAGGAUAUUCGGUGAUACUUUUGGGAGAAAGGGGAGAGAGAAGUUGUGGGGAUGAUACUUGUGGCGGAGGUGACGAGUGGAGCUGACAUAGAAGCCAUGGUACUUGACUCUGAAUAAUACGUUGUAUUGGCUUUGCUUUUAUAAUGUGUUCUAGGUUUUACGUUUCUUUGCACGGGUGGCAGGCCGUACACACGUGGUCGGUCCUUAAGGGUUUGACGAGGAAUACUACGCAGUCAUUUAGUACAUGACAACCAUACACUAUAGCACGUGGCAUGUAUUUAGAGAUCGAGAGAGAAUUGGGUAAGGUUCACGAGGGAUUGUAGUUUCAGAAGGUGAAUUGGUUUUGGUCUUCUUGUGUACCAAUAAUUUUUACUUAGUCAUUUAGUGCAGGACAACCAUGCACUAUAGCACGUGGCAUGUAUUCAGAGAUCGAGAGAGAAUUGGUUGGGUAAGGUUCACGAGGGAUUGUAGUUUCAGAAGUUCAAGCGGUUUUGGGCUUGUUGUGUACGGCUGUGGGUCUGCUGUCACGGACUCUCUGUCUCAUUUGUGUCUUAUUUUUUAUUUUUUGACACGUUUUAACGUCAAAUCAUUAUAGCAAUGUUAUGCAAUUGGGAGCUAAAUGACCGAUGCUCUUAUUUUUUAGUUUGCUUUUUUUCCAGAUCUGAUCAAAUCAUGAUAGCAAUGUUAUGCAAUUUUCAAGAGGGAGAGAUGCACCUGGGAGAGAAACGGUACGGUGACUUCUAAAUCACCGUCCAACAGAACAAUUCUCAGUAGAGACUACUAGAGAGAGAUGCACCUCACCAAUGAAAAAUUUAACUGCAAAAAUUCUGGGUAUCGGGAGUUGUGGGGUGGGUCUUGGCAGUUUUCUUAUUUCUUUGAAUUUUUUAUAAUUUAUUUUAUAAAAGUAACAGUGUUUUGUGGGGGUUAAAUUGUAAAACACGUGUCAUCAAACUAAAUAAAGAGACACCAAAGAGACAUGGAAUUCGGGACAACAGACCCACAGCCGUUGUGUACGGAGGCAGACUCUCUGCUCUCCUACUUUCUGUGUCCUCCUGUUUUGUGUAGUCACGAUUAAAUCACGUCAAUAUUUUAUAUUAUUAUUUUAUAGAUAUAAUAAGACAAAAAAGAAUAGUAAUUUAAAAUAUUAACGUGACUUAACUGUGACCACACGAAUAGGAAGGCAUGAGAAGUGGGAAGGCAAAGAAUAUGCCUCCGUUGUGUACCAAUAAUAUUAUAUAUAUAUAUAUAUAUAUAUAUAUAAUUAGGAUUGAAGGAUGUAGAGCUUAUUUUGUUAUGUAUUCUAACAAUUUAAGUGCUUAUCUUUUAGGUUUUCUCUUAAACAGCAUGCCUAUAAAAAAUCACCAAAAUUCAAACCAUAUGACCAUUAGAUCCAUAGUCAUUUUAGUGUUAAAUGAACUUCACAAAAUAAGUCUCAAAAUAUGUAUAAAAAAUGGACAGCGUGAAUGGUUUGGAAAUUGGAAUAGGUUUGGAAAUUGUGCUUUUUGUAGCAAAUUGCAGCAAAGUUUGCUUGGACUUUCACAACCGUAUAAAUUAAACUGUUCGCUUUGUUGGGAAAAACAAGUUUGCCGCUGGUCUUGGGUUCCAAGAUCGGCCAAUUUGACGGCACACUUUUUGGCGUUGAGAAGCAGUACGGAGAUGUGCAGAUUAACUUGGAUUGAUACUCCUCCAUCUUCGUUGGUUCGUGUAUUGAACAAAGAUGGCCUUCCUUGCCCUCCUUAAUAUUUUUUGUUCUUCCUGCAGUGGAGGCGGUGACGCCUUGCUCUUGGUGCAGCGUCUAGUGUUCUGUACCCUCCUCUUCUGCAUAUGUUUGUAUUUCCCCUCGUUGCCCCUUCUAAGUGGGCUUCCUAUUGUUUUGGCUUCGGCCCUGGUUAUGAAAUAUUUCCAAUCUUACCCAAAAAAAAAAAAAAAAAGAAGAAGAAGAAGAAGUCAAGCACGGUGGGAGACUGGUCAUAGUUUCUAGAUUGAUGCUCUAAUUCUAAUGUUAUACAACGCGUACGCUAAAAUAUUUUUAUCAAAAUAUUAGUUUUAGUGUUAUCAAAACAAUAAUGUUAUUCUUACCAUGUUUUUGUAUCACAAUUAUAUACCACCUUAGAUGGCAUAUGAUGUAGAUAGCCACAUCAUUUAAAUUAAUAAGCAUUUAAUUUCAAAUGUUAAUCAAUAAUUAAUAAAAUGAUUGUUAAUUAAAUGAUGAUUAUGGUAUACAAGGAGUCUCCUUCUUCCUUCCCCUUUCCAUUCUGCUUUUUCUUCCUACCACUUUCUGUUUUUUUUUUCAUGCCAGUUUUUGUAUUGAUUUCUAUUGAUUUCCAUGAUUAUGGUCAAUCUUUAUAGAAUUUACUCGUAUACCACAACCACCAUUGAUUUCUAUCUCUAGACUCAUGCCCCGUAGCCCUAAUCCUCAUUCCCCUUCAAGUAUUUCUGUCUCCAAUCUUCUUUGGUACUCCAUGGUUGUUCAUCUCGUGAUUUUUUUUUAUUAUUUCAUUAAGUAACGCCUAUUAGCUUUCAUGCGAAUUAGGAGUCAAAAUCAAAUUUGUCUAUCGGAUUAGGGUUCAUGCCCAAUUAAGUUACUAACGCAAGAGAGAUUUUGAAGUCUACAAUUUUCCUUAUUUAAGUGUUUUAAUUAAUAAGAAAAUUGAAAUUAAACGAUUUAGCUUGUCCAACUCAUCUGCCACCUAAGAUGGUAAAUAAAUGUGGUAAGAAUAGCAUUACUCUUAUCGAAAUUACAAAAAAAAAAAAAAAAAAAAAAAAAAGCUGAUUCAAUAUUUAGUUAUUAAAAAAAAUAUAAAAAAAGUGAUCAAGUAACUAUCCAAUACCCAUGUAUUGGGUGCUUUGUUUGAAAAUUUUCAAAAUGAUAUUGGGCUCGUUUGGAUAUGUUUUUAAAAUGACUGAAAGCGUUUUUAGAGAAAAUAUUUUUUUGAUUCCAAAAGCACUUAAAGUGUUUUCUGCAAAAAGCACUUAAAGUGCUUUCUGCAAAAAGCACCAGUUAUGUGCUUCUUCCUAGAAGCACUUUAAGUGUUUUUCAAGCAUUUACUUGCUUUUUUACUAAGGAUUGGUUCCAAAAACAUUUUCACAAAAAGUGUUUUCAGUCAUUUUAAAAGUACAUUCAAACGAGCUCAUUGUUUUUCCUAUUUUAAUCAAGUGCGUCGUCCCCUGUUGAGAAUGAAUCUCAUAUUAUGGGGAGAGGGGUCUUGCAUGGAUGAGAGGAGGGACCUUGCAUGAGCUUAUAAGUAAGUUGGGUUACUCUCUAUAUUGCCAAGAGAAAUUUUAUUUGGACCUACUUUUCCUCUCUCUAAACCCAACUUUAAUAUUUUGUUACCUAAACUCUCUAGUUUACCCUCAUAAAUUAUAAACAUAAAUAAACUGGAAAAAGAAAAACUCAUCAAACCUAUUUCCCAACUGUUCUGGCGUCUCUUCCCUGUAUUUGUUGGGUCUAUCUCCCUCCCGACUGUUUUUUUUCCCUGAUAUUCUCUGUGUGUUCCCCCACCUCUCCCACACCCACCGAUUCUUUGUGGUGGCUAUUCCACCCAACGUCCAGUGAAUCUUUCCAUUUUUCUUCUAUUGCGCGUGAUAGGGCCUUGCUGUUAAUAGGCAAAACUAAGCGGCAUCGUCGACUCUGUAAGCGACUUGUUGCAGAAGUCCAAAAUGGAGUCAAAAGGAUUUUGUAUUGGGUCGGGUUGUUGAAGGCGAUGGCUGAUUUAGCAAUCUCGCCUAACUACUUCUAUAUGCAGGAGAAGGAAGAGGGAGGAAGGUCUAAAGUGGUGGUUGAGUGGUGGCGAUGUAUGUGGGUUCUAUCUCGGUUGAAUGGGUGUAGAAAGAUAUUUAAUUUUCAGUUUCUUAUUUUAUUUUGUAUAAGGGAUAAUAUCGGAAUUACAUAAAAAGUUUUUUUUAUAGCUGGGUGUAGAAAUAGUAUUGUUGGGUCUAAAUAAAAUUACCCUAUUGCCAAACAUAGUAUUGUUGGGUCUAAAUAAAAUUACCCUAUUGCCAAUUAGCUUUGUUUGAAAAUUUUCAAAAUGAUAUUGUUUUUACCAUUGAACCCUUGUUAUAUACAGUGAUGGCUAAUUUGUCAAGUUCUACGAAGUUGGGAUACCCAGCGUUUUAGCAUAUAACAUAACUUAGUAUUACAAGCAUAAUUAAUUAAAAUAAAGGAAAAUGAAGAGGAUAGCUUAGUAUUACAAGCAUAAUUAAUUAAAAUAAAGGCAAAAGUAACAGCCUGUCCCUAAAAAUGACGAUUUUAUAAUCUUAACACGUGAGUUUAUGAAGAUGCCCUUCGAGGCAAAGUGUUGACUUGUGUUGACUACCGCAUCGUGUCAUGUGAGACUCAUCUUCUUGGCGUAUUCUCGUUUUACUUGUCACUACGGACGCAUGGGCGCAAACGGGACAUGAUUUGGAGCUAUAACGAAUGAGUUAUUAACAUUUAAAGUUAAGGACAUUUUAGUAAAUUAAUUAAUUUCAGAUUAUGUUGAGGGGAAAAUCUGGAGUGCCGGUGGGUGGCCCAGAUUAAAGGAAAUGAAGAAUGGAUGGUGGAGGUGUAAAGGAAAGAAGAUAAAAGAAAAAUGAGAGGAAGUGUGUGACUAAUAGGGAGAUGAGAGAGUUAGGAUGGCCCAAUCAGAAACAAACGAAAGGAGGAAAAAGGAGAGAAGAGGGGAGCGGGGGAUCCCUUCGACCCGGUUCCAUUUUCCGACCCGACCCGAUCCUUUUCAUCUUCUUUGAUGGUUUUUCGUCGGUUUUUUCCGACGAACCACGUUAUCUAACCCCUUGGAAAAUGUUCCACAACCUUCCCUCAACUAUUACAAUCCAAAAUUGUAGAAAUUUAGCCAUGAAAGUAUGAAAACCACACCGGUGGGUGCGGGAAACCCUUGUCGUCGAUUCUCCCAUUAUUGCAACGAUUUUCACCAAUUACCACCACCUACAACAUCCUCUUGAGGUCUGGAAUAAAGCCCAAACAAGUUUUGCACUACUACAAUAUUAGCUUUAGAUGGCAGAUGAUGGUGGCGGAUUUAGAAAAAUAUUGUCGGAUAAAUUAUAUCUGACACAUUAUUUAAUUAGUGGUGAAUAUAAGAAAAAUCAUGUCGGUUAUAACCGACAUAAAUUCGUGGCAGAUACUAGCAGAUAUUAAAAAACUCAUGUCGGUUAUAACCGACAUAAAUUCCUAGCGAAUAAUUACUGACAGAUAUUAUAAAACUUCUGUCGGUUAUAACCGACAAUAUUUUUGAAUUGGGGGAAUUUAAAAUUUUGGGAGGGAAUUUAAAAUUUUGGGAGGGAAUUUAAAAUUUUGGAGGAAAUUUUGGGGGGAUUUUUACCCAUAUUAAUUCAUGGCGGAUAAUUACUGACGAAUAUUAUAAAGCUCAUGUCGGUUAUAACCAACAAUAAUGAAAAUGUUUAUGUCGAUUUUUAUUAAAAAAAUGUUUCUGUCAGUUUUAACCGACAUUAAUGAAAAUAUUCCACAGUAAAACCCCUACUUCUUCUCCUUGUGCUGGUGCCUUCUCCCUUCCCCCUUCUUUCCCCCUUUUCUCUUCUCCUCAUUUCCUUUUCCUUUGUAUUUUUGAUUUUGACAAGGUCUCUCCUUUAUUUGAUUCUUUGUUGUUCAUCUCUCACAAAUGUAGAGAGAGUAAAGGAGAUGCUUAGAGCGCUUUCUUUGUUCCUUUUUUUUUUCUUUUCAUUUUUUCCCUUUUCAAACUCCGACUAUGUCUUACAUGGCCGGUCCCAAGCCCGGAUAAAGGAGGAGGGGGAGGGCGUCAGGUAGUCGACAGCCGGCACUCCAUGAUCACGUCGAAUCCUUAUGAAAAUGAAUCCAGAACAAAAUCGCGCUAAAGCUAGGGCGCCACCCGUAAGUGGCGCGCUGUGUGGCCCGAGCACAGUGAUAAGUGAGCAAGGGUCGCUGUAUCUCCAUCGGCACUCGGAUGCAGUGUUAAAUGAGCAAGGGGGCCAUAGAAACUUCUUUUCGAACGACUCCACUCAAAGUUGUUUGGGAGCAUAUGCUCCUAUCAACUUUACCCGGGACACACAAAAGAAGUACUUUGAUCCUAUUAGACGGGGGAGGGUGAAGAAGCUAGGACAGAAGGGUAGAGUUCAAGAGAGCAAAAUGCGUUUAGGAACGUGGAAUAUAGGAACCUUAACGGGAAAAUCUAUGGAAGUAGUGGAAGUUAUGGUGAGGAGAAGGAUAAAUAUUAUGUGCCUACAAGAAACUAAGUGGGUUGGUAGUAAGGCAAAGGAUCUAGAAAACUCAGGGUUUAAACUUUGGUAUUCGGGCACAAAUAGAACGAGAAACGGUGUUGGCAUCAUCGUGGACAAGACCUUGGUACAAGAUGUUGUAGAUGUCAAGAGUGUAGGAGAUAGAAUCAUGGCAAUCAAGAUUGUAAUAGGACAAGAACUUAUCAAUGUGAUUAAUGCGUACGCACCUCAAGUAGGGUUGGAUACGAGUUCGAAGGAGAAAUUUUGGGAAGAUCUUGGAGACUUGGUGCAAGGAAUUGCUCAGACGGAGAAGUUAUUUAUAGGAGGAGAUUUAAAUGGACACGUGGGCAGGGAGACAGGCAACUAUGGAGGUUUUCAUGGUGGCCAUGGUUUUGGGGAGAGAAACGAGGAUGGGGAAGCUAUCUUGGAUUUUACAAUGGCAUAUGAUCUCUUCUUAGCCAACACCUUCUUUAAGAAGAGAGAAGAACAUGUGAUCACCUACAAGAGUGGGUCGUCAAAAACACAAAUAGAUUUUCUUCUAAUGAGGAAAGGGGAUCGUAUAACUUGUAAGGAUUGCAAAGUUAUACCAGGAGAGAGCGUGGCUAAUCAACAUCGCUUGUUGGUGAUGGAUGUACAUAUCAAAAGAGUAAGACAAAAGAACAAGACUUGGAAGUGCCCAAGGACUAGAUGGUGGAAUCUAAAAGAAGAAAAACAAGUCAUUUUCAAAGAGAAGGUAAUCACCCAAUGUGUGUGGGAUAGAGAGGGGGAAGCUAGCCAAAUGUGGGAUUUCAUGGCUAGUUGUAUCCGAAAAGUAGCAAAAGAGGUAUUAGGAGAGUCUAAGGGCUUUGCCCCACACUAAAAGGAAUCUUGGUGGUGGAAUGAGGAGGUACAAACAAAGGUGAAGGCUAAGAAGGAAUGUUGUAAAGCCUUAUACAAGGAGAGGACCGAUGAAAAUGGUGAAAGGUAUAGAAAAAAAGCGAAGCAAGAGGCGAAGAAAGCUGUCAGAGAAGCUAAGUUAGCGGCUUACGACGAUAUGUAUAAACGACUAGAUACCAAAGAAGGAGAGUUGGAUAUCUAUAAACUAUCUAGAGCAAAGGAAAAGAAGACAAGGGACCUAAACCAAGUGAGGUGCAUCAAGGAUGAGGAUGGAAAGGUUCUUGCUACAGAGAACGCGGUUAAAGACAGAUGGAGAGGUUAUUUUCAUAAUCUUUUCAAUGAAGGACAUGAAAUGAGUGCUUCUUUAGGGGAGUUGAGUAACUCAGAAGAGUGUAGAAACUACUCUUUUUAUCGUCGAAUCCGGAAGGAAGAAGUGGUUGUAGCUUUGAAGAAGAUGAAGCAUAAAAAAGCAAUAGGCCCAGACAAUAUACCAAUCGAAGUGUGGAAACUUUUGGGAGAGACAGGUAUAACAUGGCUCACUGACCUUUUCAAUAGGAUUUUGAAAACGAAAAAGAUGCCAAAUGAGUGGCGAACGAGCACUUUGGUGCCUAUCUACAAGAAUAAGGGCGACGUACAAAAUUGCAUGAACUAUAGGGGUAUUAAGCUAAUGAGUCAUACAAUGAAGCUCUGGGAGAGAGUCAUUGAGCAUAGAUUGAGGCAAGAGACACGGGUUUCGGACAACCAAUUCGGGUUCAUGCCAGGGCGCUCAACCAUGGAGGCAAUCUAUCUCUUACGAAGAUUGAUGGAAAGAUAUAGAGAUGGGAAAAAUGAUUUACACAUGGUCUUUAUAGAUUUGGAAAAAGCGUAUGAUAGGGUCCCAAGAGACAUUCUUUGGAGGAUUUUAAAGAAGAAAGGAGUACGAGUAGCAUAUAUCCAAGCUAUAAAGGACAUGUAUGAAGAAGCAAAGACUGCCGUAAGAACUCAUGAAGGACAAACCGAAAGCUUUCCCAUAACUGUAGGAUUACAUCAAGGCUCAUCCUUAAGUCCUUACCUUUUUGCGUUGGUAAUGGAUGAGUUAACAGGACAUAUUCAAGAUGAUAUUCCUUGGUGUAUGCUUUUCGCAGACGAUAUAGUGUUGAUAGAUGAAACUCAGGAAGGGGUAAAUGCAAAGCUUAACCUUUGGAGAGAAGUGUUGGAAUCUAAAGGUCUUCGCCUAAGCCGAUCAAAGACAGAAUAUAUGGAGUGCAAGUUCAGUGCAAAUGGAGGCCAAAACGAGUUAGGGGUGAGGAUCGGAGAUCAAGAAAUACCAAAGAGUGACCGUUUUCGUUACCUAGGAUCUAUCUUGCAAAAGAACGGAGAAUUAGAUGGAGAUCUCAACCAUAGAAUACAAGCUGGAUGGAUGAAGUGGAAGAGUGCAUCUGACGUGUUGUGUGACCGUCGUAUGCCACUGAAGCUCAAAGGAAAAUUUUAUAGGACGGCAAUAAGGUCGGCGAUGAUUCAACUUGGCGGGUUCGAGCAAAUAGGCGUUGGGCCAUAUUAGACACAGAACCUGCACACUGAACACUGAGAGCUAGCGAAUCCUUAACAGCUAACUCAUCAGACCGUUUGGAAAGUAGUCUGUUAUCUUUGGGAGUGAGAAGGUUCCUGGCCACCACCGCAGCGGUCAUAUCAUUCUUCAUCACGGAAUCCCCAACGGUAAGAGGACCAGUAGGGGAGACAAAGGAUGGGCGCCAUAUGUUGUCUGGAGAAGGCGGGGCUGCCUCUUCAACAAGGUUCAAGUCAAAAAACGACGGUCGGAGGGCCAGACAUUUUCAAAGGUGUUGAAGAGAGAAGAGGUCGGACACAAAUCAAGAUCUUAGAAGUGCAAGAAUGAAGCUUCUACUGGUGGAGAUUCAAGUGUGCUUUGGAACUUAAUGCCAGCCCCUAUAAAAAUCUGCACUCGACGGAGCUUCAGAAAUCGAAGAGGCGUUUGCUUUCUCAAAAGCUGGGCUGCUUAGAGAUCACGAGGGUUGAUCUCAGGAAUCGAAGAGGCGUUUGCUUUCUCAAAAGUUGGGCUGCUCAAAGACCACGAAGGCCGAUCUCAGAAAUCGAAGAGGCGCUCACUUUCUCAAAAACUGGGCUCCCCAGAGACCACGAGGGCCGAUCUCAAAAAUCGAAGAGGCACCUACUUUUCCAGCCUUGUCAGCACCUGUCACACGCACACUCAGCUUUGCGGAAAUUAUGGGCAUUCUGUCGAAGACUUCUGGGGAAGUAGAAAACACAUGAAUCUUACUGUUCAAUCACCCACUUCCCACACGCAAUAAUAGCUCAUGGGUACCACAGAUAACUUUGCCAAAGUUCUCUGCCAAAGUUGAGCACGUGAAGCUUGCAGCUCCCACUACAUCGCUCUGACCAAGAAGGGUAAAAAGAAUAGCAAAGAAACAGCACUAACAAAGUUUAGACCCAUAAAUUUUGAAGGUCUAGCUACCAUAUUAUUACCCACAAGGGUAAAGGAACAGUACCACUGCUGGAUAAUUGGAAAGUCCCUAUGUGUCAACCUCUGUGCUUCGUGGCAAGGUAGACUAGCAAACAUGCCCAACCUUUACUCACAUUCGAGAAAACACUCCCAAUAAGAUUGCUUGCUCCAAAAUCGAAGAGGCACCGUCCUCCGAAUCUCGAGAGCCAGACUCCCAACAUGACUACUUUCUUAAAAAUCGAAGAGAGGGUAAAGGAACAGUACCAUUGCUGGAUAAUUGGAAAGUCCAUGUGUGUCAACCUCUGUGCUUCGUGGCAAGGUAGACUAGCAAACAUGCCCAACCUUUACUCACAUUCGAGAAAACACUCCCAACAAGAUUGCUUGCUCCAAAAUCGAAGAGGCACCGCCCUCCGAAUCUCGAGAGCCAGACUCCCAACAUGAUUACUUUCUCAAAAAUCGAAAGAGACACUGCUCCCCGAAUCUUCGAGAGCCAGACCCCCAGCAUGAUUGCUUUCUCAAAAAUCGAUGAGGCAUCGUUCUCCGAAUCAAUCGAAGAGGCGCUCGCUUUCUCAAAAGCUGGGCUGCUCAGAGACCACGAGGGCCGAUCUCAGAAAUCGAAGAGGCACUUACUUUUCUAGCCUUGUCAGCACCUGUCACACGCACACUCAGCUUUGCAGAAAUUAUGGGCAUUCUGUCGAAGACUUCUGGUGAAGUAGAAAGCACAUUAAUCCUACUGUUCAAUCACCCACUUCCCACACGCAACAAUAGCUCAUGGGUACCACAGAUAACUUUGCCAAAGUUCUCUGCCAAAGUUGAGCACGUGAAGCUUGCAGCUCCCACUACAUCGCUCUGACCAAGAAAGGUAAAAGAAUAGCAAAGAAACAGCACUAACAAAGUUUAGACACAUAAAUUUUGAAGGUCUAGCUACCAUAUUAUUACCCACAAGGGUAAAGGAACAGUACCACUGCUGGAUAAUUGGAAAGUCCCUGUGUGUCAACCUAUGUGCUUCGUGGCAAGGUAGACUAGCAAACAUGCCCAACCUUUACUCACAUUCGAGAAAACACUCCCAACAAGAUUGCUUGCUCCAAAAUCGAAGAGGCACUGUCCUCCGAAUCUCGAGAGCCAGACUCCCAACAUGACUACUUUCUCAAAAGCGAAGAGAGGGUAAAGGAACAGUACCAUUGCUGGAUAAUUGGAAAGUCCCUGUGUGUCAACCUUUGUGCUUCAUGGCAAGGUAGACUAGCAAACAUGCCCAACCUUUACUCACAUUCGAGACAACACUCCCAACAGGAUUGCUUGCUCCAAAAUCAAGAGGCACCGCCCUCCGAAUCUCGAGAGCCAAACUCCCAACAUGAUUACUUCCUCAAAAAUCGAAGAGACACUGCUCUCCGAAUCUCGAGAGCCAGACCCCCAGCAUGAUUGCUUUCUCAAAAAUCGAAAAGGCAUCGUUCUCCGAAUCUCGAGAGCCAGAUACCACAGACCACUUUUUCAAAGUGCUCUGACAGAGUUAAAACAUGUGAAACUGGCAGCUCCCACUACCGUGCUAUGACCAAGCAGGGUAAAGGAAUAGCAUUACUACUUGUUGUUAGGGAGACUCCUAUAUAUGUCGACCUCCAUCCCCAACGGACAGGCAGACCUGCAAAAAUGCUCAACCCUUCAUCAUAUCUGAGUGGGCACUCCCAACGAAGCCUUUCGAAAUAUUCAGCUUUCUUUCCCCCCGAUAAUACCUCUGCAAACAAGCUAUACUAGAGCAAGAAUAUCUCAUAUCAUCAGGGUUAAAAGCAAGAGUAUCCCAUAUCAUGCUUUUUCCCUGUCUUUUCCUUUGGCCUUGUUUUUACCUGCAAGACAAGGAGAAAGAGAGCAAUCAGUCAGCACUUGGAAUCAAGCUUCCAACCAGGAAAUGACUGCCUGGAACCCCUUACUUGGCAUUGCUCUCGAGUACUCAUCUUCAACAUCUUAUGUUUCCAGGGAAGAUUCUGCAUCUGCUUGAGGAACAGAUAGGGCAAGUGCGAAGGAUACAAGGAAGCAUGCGGAGACAAGCGUAACAGCACACGUGCCGAUACAUCCAUUACUCUGUCAAAAGCAAAAGUAUCCCAUAUCAGCAGGGUGGAACGUACUCUAGAUUUGAUGGACUUGUUUUGACCCUCAAAUUCUUCAGUCGGCCUUAUAUUCUGGAGGAAACCAGAAAACCCUCCAGCUCAGUUCAAGAAUAAGCCUGUGGAAAGUUACUUCUUCAAAAGCAAAAGUAUCUCAUAUCAUCUCUUCUCAUUUUUCUUCUCUCUUUAUCCUUCAUGCUGCUGCAAGAUGGGGAGAAGGUGAACAAUCAGUCGGAGCUCUGAUUGCUUACCUUGUCUGUCACCUCUUUCAGCAGACCCCCUAGCUCGGCGACUUGGGGGACUCCUACUAAAUGGUUUGUAUCGCGCUUGACCAAGCCUGAAACUACAAGUAAGCUUCAAGUGAAAUUGAUACAUUACCUUGUGCAUCUCCACCAGUUAAAGAUACCACCCCUGGAUGGAGGAAGAGUACUUCCAGAGAAGAUGCCACAUCUACCUAUGAGACAGAUAAGGCAAGUCAAGACGACACCACACUCCGAUACUUAGAAGUUUCGUGAUUAUGAGAUCAUUCUCCCACAAUAUUUCCUAAUGUCAUUUGUACUAAAUCAUUCACUUGUACUCACUAAAGGAGAGCUUGAACCUAUGUACUUGUGUAAACCCUUCACAAUUAAUGAGAACUCUUCUAUUCCGUGGACGUAGCCAAUCUGGGUGAACCACGUACAUCUUGUGUUUGCUUUCCUAUCUCUAUCCAUUUAUAUACUUAUCCACACUAAUGACCGGAGCAAUCUAGCGAAGAUCACAAAAAGCGACCGUUUUCGCUACCUAGGAUCUAUCUUGCAAGAGAACGGAGAAUUAGAUGGAGAUCUCAACCAUAGAAUACGAGCUGGAUGGAUGAAGUGUAAGAGUGCAUCCGGCGUGUUGUGUGACUAUCGUAGGCCACUGAAGCUCAAAGGAAAAUUUUAUAGGACGGCAAUAAGGCCAGCGAUGUUGUAUGGCACAGAAUGUUGGGCGGUGAAGCAUCAACACGUACACAAAAUGGGUGUAGCGGAGAUGAGGAUGCUUCGUGGGAUGUGUGGGCACACGAGAAAGGAUAAGAUUGGGAAUGAGGAUAUCCGAGGUAAAGUAGGAGUAGCCGAAAUUGUAGGAAAGAUGAGAGAAAAUCGGCUCCGGUGAUUUGGACAUGUGCAAAGAAGGCCGACUGACGCUCCGAUUCGAAGAUGUGACUACGGGACAGAGGUUCAGGGCCGAAGGGGUAGAGGAAGACCUAGGAAAACUUUGGAAGAGACUCUAAGAAAAGACUUAGAGUACUUGGAUCUAACGGAGGACAUGACACAAAACCGAGCGCAAUGGCGUUCUAGGAUUCAUAUAGCCGACCCCACUUAGUGGGAAAAGGCUUUGUUGUUGUUGUUGUUGUUGUAUUUUUUCCCUUUUCAAAAUCGAAAUGUUCUAAAUUAUUUCACUAAUCCUUGCUAGUUUGAACUGCAGGAGUCUGUCUCUGGAUUUGAAAGAUUAUCUGGACUUACAGUUUUGAAGAAUUGGGAUUCUAGUGUUACACAUAUUAUUGCAUCGACAGAUGAAAAUGAAGCAUGCAGAAGAACCCUUAAAAUUUUGAUGGGUAUCUUGGAGGGGAAGUGGAUUCUGAGUGUGGAGUGAGUUUUACUGUUUUCGUUUUAAUUGUUCUUCCUCAAGUGCUUGGACUUUACAAUUGUAAUGAGUACAGAAGCCGAAAUGAGAUAUUGAUAUACAUGUUCACAUUGCUGAUAAUUCGUUAUCCGUCUGUUUGUGUAGGAAUUAAUGCUUGCACAUAAGUAAUGAAACUAGUUAAUGAGGAGCCUUAUGAAAUCAACGUUGACAUUUAUGGAAUCAGGGAUGGUCCUCGACUUGGUAGACUAAGGCUGCAGAACAAGGUUAGCUUUUCCUCGAGUUUAACUAUCAUCACGAAAACUUUAGAUUUUCAUGGAUUCACCAUAGGCAUUGUUAAUCUUGUUCAGUCCAUAAAUAGGUUACACACUUAUCUUAACAAAGGUGAGACCUUCUCAAUUCCUCAUCGAGAUGAAUCAAGAGCAUAAUUGUAGCAGUGAUCAAGAGCAAUUUUUUUAUGUUUCUUCCAAAUUGUUGAGAUGAAUCAUCUGUGUUUUGUUCUAAUAAUCUUACAAAUUUGUUGAGCAAUUUUUGUAAAGUCAGAAUCUUUGGUUUCGGUUGUGAGGUAUCUGAUUUGGGUAUAUGUGUUUUGCAGGGCACGGUGGUUGUGGCGGAGGAAGAUUAGGAUUGACGACAGAGCUCUGGCCAUGAACUAUCAGCUCUGUCUUUCUCUCUCUAACUAUGAAUUGAAUACAAAAGUCUGUGUUGAUAUGGAAAAUGUAGCUCAAAAUUAUUACACAAAUGGCAAAAAAAAAAAGUUCGAGUGUGGAGUUUCACUUACUGAUACAGGGCUUUUGAAACAGGGUUGUCUAGACUGUAGAAGAAAUCCAUGGCUUUUGGAAGAGGGGAUGUUCCAAAUCUAUCUUUUCUCCCUCUCUAAUGUUCUUCGAGGGGUUCUUGUGAUGCAAAAAGUGGUUUAUAUAUAUUUUUUAUUAUUAAUAAAUUUUCUGUCGGUUUUAUCAGACAAUAAUUCUUUUAUUUAUUCUUAUUAAUAAUUUCUCUGUCGGUUAUAUCUGACACAAUUUCUGUCGAUUUUAGAGUAUUUUCUAUCGAAAAUUUCAUUUCCUGACGCAUCAAUUAUGUCGCUUAUUAUAUCCGCCACUGCACUCAUUUCAUGUCGGAUUUUGCUUAAUUUCCAACAGUAUUAUACAUUUCUUGUCGGUUUUUAAACCGACACUAAUGGGUACUUUUGUAGUAAUGUUGGGGCGUCGGAGUUCGUUUAAGGUCGAAUUGAGCACACCCAAAUUCAAGGGUUCCGUACGGUUCAUGGUAAUUUGAGGUAUUUCUCAGCCAAAUUGUCCUUAGUCACAGAUAUGAAAGUUGCUCCACUCGUUGAGAUCUUCAUUUAUGUCAAAUUUGAGAAUUUUUAGAAAUAAUUGGAUUUUCCAGCGAAUCGGGGCGGCGGACCACCACCGGACAGCGCAUGGCUAGUGGGCCCCCAAUGUCAUUUUACGUUAAAUUGGUAUCUUGAUUUUAGGUUUGAUGUCUAUAUGUUAUGACUUGAUAUGUGAACCUAGUUUAAUUAAGGUGCGUUAAUUGGUAAAAAUAUGAAACGACGAUCCGACCGUGGGAUCGUCACCAAUCUUUAUUAUGUUAUAGUACAUUAUAUUUGAGAAUCAUAGGGACUGACGGAUAGGAAAUCCGAUAUACGGAUCUUCCUGAAAUGGAAUUGUAAGUUCGAAGAAUAAACGUUAACCGCCACUUUGUUUUGACUAUUGGUGAAGAUCCAACCGUUGGAUCAUAAUGAAAUUUUAGGAUGAUGUUUUAGAAGCAUAAUGUGGAUCUUUGGAAGUUAUUGAUUGGAAAUCCGAGGAGCGAAUCUUCCGGAUUGAAUUACGUAAGGUUGUGGACCCUACCGUCGAUCGUUGACUGACGAUCGACUUUUGGUCAAUGGGGCUUAAAUCACUCUAAAAUGUUUUUAGGGAUGUGUUUUACGUAAAUUACAUUAUCUAUGGAUAAGAAUUCUGAGAUGUGGUUUGAUAAUUGUCCUGGGCGCCGAUCGUUAGGAACGCUUCGAUGGUUGUGCUAGGAAAUUGUAGCAUAGACUCCAGGUGAGUGAAUCUUUUCCUUCUUAUAUAUAUAUAUAUAUAUAUAUGAUUGACAAUUCCACAAACGUUUAUAAAUUGAUUAUUGCAUAUAACUACUGUAAAUACUUUGAAGUACUUAUGCGAACUACGAAUGGCUUGAUCCCUAUUUAGGGUACGUAUGCAGUCUAACAAGACAUUAAAUGCAGUCAUACAAUAAUUGAGAUUAAACAAUUGAGACAAAGCCUUGUAUGGGGAACUGGGCAAGGUGAACGAAUUUGGUAAAAAUGUGAGAUUUAACCUUCUGAAUUGGUGAUUAAAUGUUGGUCAUAAAUCAAUGUGUAAAGAAUCAAGAAUUUGAAGUAAGGAAACGUAAGUAAUGAUAAUUAAUUAAACUAGUGUCUAGUUGGGCUUGUCACCUAUAAUUAUCCCCAAAAAUGAAUAAUUCGGGAGUAGGGCGUUAUAGCUUCUGCAUUUUUAUGCCACAUUAUAUAUAUAUAUAUAUGUGUGUGUGUGUGUGUGUGUGUGUGUGUGUGUAUAAUUGGAAAUGCUAUAACGUGGUUGAGUAUCAGAUUUCAUCAUGGUUUAUCUAUAUGUAUAUUACCUGCACACAAUUAUUAUGAACACUUUGAAGUGCAAAGGUGAACGCAAGACACCCAGGAAAGUUCAGGUGAGUUUAUGGUAUUAGUUGAAAUGAUGGGGUUAUGGUAACUACAUGUAUGUUUAGGUUGCAAUGAUAGGCAACUCCGACACUGUCGUACAAGUUGCCCAUGAAUUGUAUAUGUUACAAUAGAUAGAGUUAGAGGUCAUAAACCUGCACCCCGGUGUUAGUGCUCCCACCCGUGGCUAGGGCACAGUCUUUCACGAGAUGUUCACCUCUCGCAUCUUACGCUCACCUUGGAUCCAAGGUAGGUGCACAGUCAUGUCAUAAAGACCACUAUAGGUGGUUCCGACUAGUAGAUGACCCGUGAUUAUUCGCACAGUCUUCACGUGAUUGUAGCACUUGAGCGUAUUUAUUUACACCCAGUCCUGUCGUACAGACCACUUUAGGUGGUUCCGACUCGUAUGCAGGUAUACUUAUUGAGCUAUGGAUAAGUCGUACAGGUCACUAAAGGUGACUCCAACUUAUGAGCUAGCAUAUGUGAUGAAAUAUGUGAUGAGCUAGCAUAUGUAAUGAGAUAAGUGAUGAGCUAGCAUAUGUGAUGAGAUAUGUGAUGAGUUAGCAUACGUUAUGAGAUAUGUGAUGAGUGAUAUAAUCAUAAUUGCAUACAUUUUCAUGCCCUUUUAGUUUAGAUUUUUGUUAUCCUUUUGAGUGAAUUUAGUUUGUUUCACUUAGUUUUAUGUUUUUCUUAGAUUUGAAGUGUGAAGAUGAAGAAAGAAGAAAAAAGAGCAUUUUUAGCGAUUGAAAUGAGUUUGGCAUGCUGGAAGCAGAGGCUAUUUGUGCGGAUCAGCCAACUUUACGGAUUAAACUGUACUUCCUUAGAAUGCCAGCUGUUGAGUCUUAUACCAUUGGAAAGAUAUGAAAGUUAGCUUUCAGAGGAAUUUUACGAUUCGUGAUUCCGAGUUUCCUAGAAGACGUUAUAGUGGUUUUUCUACCAGAUGUCUGCCAGCAAGGUUUUACGCGGGAUUUGCAAAGAGAUUCCAGAUUUACAAAGUUUAAUUAAAGGAAACAAGCAGAGAAAAAAGAAGAGGAAGCUUUUAGAAAAGUUCAGGACUAUUCUAAACGGUGCAUAGUUAAUAUAUUUAAUAGUUUAGUGUGCCACAUCAUCAAUAAACUAAUCUAAGUCAGAAGAGAAAUUCAAGAGUCCCAUUCAAGUAAGUAUUCCAGCAGUUUUAUUCAGGAAUAAAGGAGGGCAGACCGUCGGACUUUAGGAGCGGACAGAGAGAGUUUUUGGGUUUUCGAAGGUGCAGAGAAGAGGUCGCAGCAAGGAGUGAAACAGAGUCGCCGAUCAUCUGGGCAAUCCAUCACCAUCGUGUGGAAGUAUUUUAUGUUUUUCAGAUUUUUAAUUAUGUUUUCAGAUUUUAUGAGUAACUAAACUCUUUUUCUAAGGUUAGGAUGAUGCCCUAGCAUGGAUGUUUAUGGUUUGUAAUGUUAUUCAUUGGAUUUCCAGUUUCUUUUAGAUGAAUGCUUAAUCACUGUUUGAAUUGUUACUGUUUGUUUGAGUUCUUUGAUUGAUCACCUUAGGACUUUGCAUCUAGUAAGAUUGGAAGAUGAAUUUGAGACUGAACUAACAAUAUAAUUCAAUUAGCUUCUUGUGGUUAAGUGUGGUAAAUUACAUUAUUGCUUGAAAAAGAAUAAUGGUUUGUUUGGGUCCCUUGUUUUCUAGAGGGUAAAGAGUCCUACUUGUUAAAUUUAUGCCUUAACUAGGAUAGACUGCUUGUUAGGAUAUACGACCUCUGCCUAAACUAGGAGAGAAUCAUUCACAUAAGGAAAACUAUGGUCUAAUAUGCCUGACAAGGACUUAGAUACGGGAAUUAUCAUCUAAAGAAUUGAAAGAUCCAUUGAAUGCAUUGAAACCUAAACUAGAUUGCUUGUGGUUGAUUCCGAAUCCCUAGAUUUUCAUCACUUGCCUUAAAACACAACCGUUUCUUUUCUUUAAUUUCAGUUUUUACUUAAGGUUCUGUUUUUGUUCAUUUAUAAAAUCAUCACAACAAAUUUUUUACAUCUUUGAUUGACUUAUUAAUUAAGAUCGAGUCUAGUUCGUUGUUUGGGUUUGUGUGUCUUUAAUAUAAUUAGAUUUGGUUUAGUUUAUCAAAUUGGAGAUUGAAUUAGAAUCCUCGUGGGAACGAUACUUGGACUUGCAAAACGUUAUAUUACGACUAUCUUGUGCACUUGUAAGUUUACACCAAGUUUUUGGCGCCGUUGCCGGGGACUCUAAUUGAGUCCCCCAAUUUGAUAUCAUAUUCCAUAUCUAAUAAGUAGUUUAUUGUAGAUUAUUCAAUUUGAUUUUGUUUUGUUCUCUAGUUUCGAGUAAGAGUCAUAACUAUUAAGAUAAGUAAAAGUAAUUUUCGUCACUGUUUUAUUUCAGUUUUGUAUCACUGUUUCGACACAGUUUUGGACUAAACUAUUCGAUUUUUUACCAGGAAUAUUGUGUAUCGUUGGAAAGCCCCAGAAGUCUAGUUUUCAACCCAAAAAACAGAUCAAUGAUUGGAUUUUUGAGCUGCAAGAAAUGUACAAAAUACUGAGCAGUGGUCAAACAAGGAGCACAGUCUGGUCGUAUAUGCAAGGUAGACGUUCGUUGCAAUUUGAGUUGAUUCAUAUAGACCAAGAACUUGUGCGUACUUUAAGAGAACAGUGGAGGCAGCGAGUGUGUCAAGAACCAGCCAUGGAGGAAGUAGUUAAUAAUGGUGGAAAUAAUCCUCCACCAUUGCUACCACCACAACCAAGGCUCAUGCGUGAUUAUACAAAGCCAACGGAGUACAACGCACCGUCAUGCAUUGUUUUGGCUCCAAUUGCGCAGCGAUUUGAGAUUCGUCCACAAAUCUUUCAGUUGCUGCCUAUAUUUCUUGGGAAGGAGGAAGAAAAUCCAUACCAUCAUAUCAAGGCGUUUUUCAAGCUAUGUUCCACAUUCACAUUCACCAAUGUUACUGAAGAGCAAAUUCGACUUCGGUUAUUCCCAUUCUCUUUGAGGGAUAAAGCAAGCAGUUGGUUGGAUUCUCUUCCCGAAGCAUCUAUCGACACAUGGACAAAAUUAUCGAAGAAGUUUUUGUCCAAGUUCUUCCCCGCUCGAAGAACCAAUGCUCUGAUCAAUGAAAUCAUGAGCUUUCGACAACAAGAAGGUGAACAGUUUCAUGAAAGUUGGGAGCGCUAUAAGGACUUGUUUCUUCAAUGUCCUCAUCAUGGUUUCAACACUUGGCAAAAGGUUCAUUAUUUUUACAAAGGUUUGAACUCUCAAUGUAGGAGUUUGGUUGAUUCAACGGUUGGUGGAACCUUGAUAGACAAAACUCCAGAAGAUGCCAUACAUGCCUUUGAAACUAUAUGUGAAAAUUCUGAGCAUUGGGAUUUUCCUACAAAAGAUUUGAGAGUUCCAACUGCAUCGUCAACAAAAAAAGGAGGCAUUUAUGAAGUUAAUACAAGGACGGGCUUAGAGGCACAAGUGGCAGCCCUCACCAAGCUUCUCACACCACUUGUAAGCAAGAUAGCCACGCAGCCAUGUACUUUAUGUGCGAGCAUCGCCCAUGACAUGGAAAAUUGUCCAACAAAUGCUAAUCUAGAAGGCAUCCAAGAGGUCAAUGCAUUUAGUGGGAGGCCCCGGAAUGAUCCAUAUUCUAAUAAUUAUAACCCGGGAUGGAGAGAACAUCCAAAUUUUUCUUAGAGAGAUUCACAAAAUAGCAUGGGAUCAUUCACUUCAACAAAGCAAUAUCAGCAACCUUAUCAAGCUCCUCCAAUUCAACAAAAAGACUCGUCUAUCAAGGAUAUGUUAUCUCAACUCUUAAAGAAAACUGAUCGGUAUGAACAUGAAGUUGUGUCGCUUAGACAAAGUCAGACGGUGUUGGAAAAGGCUCGAUCUAAUUUUGAGACUCAGUUGGGACAGAUAGCUACUACUUUGAACAAGCUGGAGUGAGCACAAGGGCAAUUUCCAAGCCAAACUGAAACAAAUCCUAGGAAUCAAAAGCAUGUUCAAGCUGUCACCACUUUGAGGAGUGGAAAGACGAUUGGUAAUAAUGUGGAAAGUUCAAAAAUUAAUAAGGAAGAAGAUGAAGGGGUCAGCACAUAUCGGGCAGCAGCUUGACAAGACAAGCUAAAAAAGAGAAGUAUAUGGGAGAUAUUUUAGAGCAAUUUAGAAAGGUGCAGAUUAAUAUUCCUUUUCUCGAUGCCAUCAAACAAAUUCAAUCAUAUGCGAAGUUUUUGAAGGAACUUUGUACUAACAAGAGACGGUAUGAAGAACAUGAGGAGGUGAAGUUAUCAGACACGGUUAGUGCGGUUCUUCAAAGAAAAUUGCCACCAAAACUUCAAGAUCCUGGUAGCUUUACAGUCCCAUGUGUCAUUGGAGAAAGAAAAUUCGAAAAAGCUUUGCUUGACUUGGGAGCCAGUGUGAAUUUGAUGCCCUAUUCUGCUUAUAAACACCUCAAAUUAGGCGAACUAAAGCACAUAUCCAUUUCUCUACAAUGCACUGAUCGUUCUGUGAAAUAUCCAAGAGGGAUUGUUGAAAAUGUACUUGUGUGUGUUGAUCAAUUUAUUCUUCCUGCUGACUUCAUCAUUUUGGACAUGGAAGAAGCCGAAAUUCCUGGUCGUGACUUGCCUCUCAUUCUUGGCAGACCUUUCAUGGCUACUGCAGGUACGAAGAUUGAUGUUAAAUCGGGAUUAUUAACUAUGACUGUGCAAGGUAUUACUGUAGAAUUUCAGGUCUUCGAAGCAUUGAAGAAGCCCAUGGAUCUUUAUGACUGCUUUCGUGUUGAGGUAGUGGAUCCAAUUAUAAAAAAAAACAUUCAUUGAAUCAAGCAUCUCAGAUCCUCUGGAAGUUUGUAUCUCUCAACAUGGGAUGAGUUUUGAAAAGGCUACCAUCAUUGAAGCAGAACGAGAUCUCAAUGCCGUAACGUCCUACUCUCUUAGAUGCCAGCCCAAAUUUGAAGCGUUGCCACUCACAAGCCAAAAUUGUACCAUCCAUUAUACAACCUCCAAAGCUUGAAUUGAAGCCUCUUCCAGAGACUUUAAAGUAUGCAUAUUUGGUGAUUCAGAGACUCUUCCUGUGAUUAUAGCUGCUGAUCUUAACCAAACAGAAGAGGAAAAGUUGAUGCAAAUGUUGAGGGAGCAUAAAACAGCAUUGGGAUGGAGUAUUGCAGACAUAAAAGGAAUUAGUCCUCAAUUUGCAUGCAUCGGAUAUAUCUUGAGGACAAGUCAAAGCCUUCUAGAGAGGCACAGCGACGUCUAAAUCCACAUAUGCAAGAAGUGGUUCGGGCAGAAGUUCUUAAAUUACUGAAUGUCGGCAUUAUUUAUCCUAUAUCUAACAGCAAAUGGGUAAGUCCACUGCAGGUUGUACCACAGAGAUCUGGAAUUACAGUUGUCAAGAAUGAAAAUAAUGAGCUUAUACCCCAGAGGACUGUCACGGGUUGGAGAAUGUGUACAGAUUACAGAAAGAUCAAUAAUUCAACUCGAAAAUAUCAUUUUCCACUCCCUUUCCUUGAUCUCAUGCUUGAGAGACUUGCAGGCCAUAGUUAUUAUUGUUUUCUUGAUGGCUAUUCCAGAUAUAAUCAAAUUCCCAUAGCUCCGGAAGAUCAAGAAAAGACUACUUUCACAUGUCCAUUUGGAACUUUUGCCUAUCGACGAAUGCCUUUUGGGUUAUGUAAUGCUCCCGCAACAUUCCAAAGAUGCAUGAUGAGCAUUUUCUCAAACUUGGUGGAAAGGUGUAUCGAAGUGUUCGUGGAUGAUUUUUCCGUGUUUGGGUCAUCGUUUGAUCAAUGUCUUCAUCAUCUUUCAUUGGUGCUCUAACGGUGUCAAGAAACCAACUUGAUUUUAAAUUGGGAAAAAUGUCAGUUUAUGGUGAAAAGUGGUAUUGUUCUUGGUCAUGUAAUUUUAGCUGACGGAAUUGAAGUUGAUAAAGCUAAGGUGGAGCUGAUUUCGAAGCUUCCUCCUCCCACUUCUGUAAAAGAAGUUCGAUCCUUUCUCGAGCAUCCAAGUUUUUAUCGCCGAUUUAUUAAAGAUUUCUCGAAAAUCACCAAGCCACUUUGUGAUCUGCUUGCUAAAGAUUCUGUGUUUAAUUUAAAUGGUGAGUGCUUACAAGCUUUUGAGACCCUCAAGAAAGAAUUAACACAAGCCCCAAUCAUAAAAGCUCCAGAGUGGUCUCUUCCUUUUGAAAUCAUGUGUGACGCCUCUGAGUAUGCAAUAGGUGUUGUGUUAGGGCAGCGAGUUAACAAACUUCCUCAUGUUAUAUUUUAUGCUAGCCGAAUUCUCACUUAACAACUUUCAUAUCCCUUAGUUUCCAAAAUUUAAUAUACAAAUUUAGUCUCCCAAGCAUUGCUAUAUUACUUAAGUAUUGAUUAAUAGACUUAUUUCUUAUGGUGACACAUUAUUUAGUUUACAAAUUUAGUCUAUCUAACAUUACUCUUUUGACAUUGUCUUGUCCACUGAUAUAAUUCUAUUUUUCUUGUGAUCAAAACUUCAAAUGUUAGCAAGUCGCACGUAAAGUCGCUUCUGAGAGAAUGUGCUCACAUUGUAGUUGAAAGAUUAUGUGGCUAGCAACAUUACAAAUUUAAUUUGGUAUAAUUUUAAAAUAUAGAUUGAGGAAAAAAAGGAUCACAUUAACUAGAAACUGAAAAGGUUUCGGCGCAAUAUGUUCAAGCAAGAAACUCAAUUUUGAUGCUACCGAUCUUAACAGCCUGAGCGCCGUACCUGGGCACUAAAGUCACCACCACACUCUCAUCAUCUUCAGCACCCAAAUCCUCCAACAGGUCCGUUAACCCCAACCUUAAACAACUCUUGCUCUUUUCCUUCUGCUUAUGUGGCACACUCACAAAACUCCCAGCAAACUCGCUCUUGUCGGGUCCACUCGGUGCCGCAUCCUCAUCAUCCACGUCAUUCACAUACACAUCAAACUUCACAGCCACAUCUUUGUCAAGCUCAAUCCCCCGAAUCACCAAUAUCUCCUCCUCAUCCUCUUUCUCCUUCUUGCUCCUCUUCUUCGGCUUCGGCCUUGACACCACCGUAGUUAUCUUCGUCUCCAAAUUUAUUGGAAAAUCUUUACCCGCCACCACCUUCCCCGAUGACGUCGUCUCAGCGGCCUUCGCCACUCCAGCCGCCUUUGCCUUUCUCGCAAGCUUUGUCCGACGUGGCGUCGGUCUAGAGUUGAGCCAUGGAAUCUCAACAUCUUCAUACGUAUACCCUAGCUUUUUAUUAUCAAGAGUGUCCCUCACCGUGACCCUAACAAGCUCAGCAUUCUCGUCAUAAAACAAAAACCCCGUAUCCAACCAAUCCUUAUCGUUAAUAUCUUUAUUUUUAGUCCCUAUACUUUUCCAAAUAUUCCACAUUCGAUCCAGAUUCAAAUGGUGCGCAAAAAAUAUCGGAUCCCUUGCAGUGGAGUAAAAAUUCCCCAUGUCUUCAUAAUUAGGUUGCGUGUUAUCUCCGGUCCAUGUAUGAACCGGACCAUGUGGGGUCUGUUCGAUUGCACCGGCCCCUGGAUCUGGUUCAGUGCCAGCCCUGUAGGGCGAACCAAAGAACAACAGCGGUUUCUUGGAGUUGGAAACCAUCUGCCUAUACAUGAUUUUGAGGUUGGCUUCGAUUUGAGCAUCCUUGGACAUUGUUUCAUCCGUGCCGUUGAAGUCAAGAUCGAUGAGAGUUGGCGGCUGAUGGCUGGCAGCGCGGAGCUCGUCGUAAAGCGGAGAGUCAGGGUUAGCGUACAAGGCAGGGAGUUGCAUGCCAGCUGGCGCGUCCCAGUUCCAAAACGGCAACGCGAAGGUCGGAUCGUCUAUGAGUUUGGCCAAGAUUCUUUCGUGGAAAUAUAGGUAGUAACGAUGGAAGGGGAAGAAAAGCCAGGAUUGAUGGAUUUGGAGCUCGAGGUUGGGGAAGCCGACUUGGUCGUACGCACCGUUACAAUAGGCACAGUGGACAUCGGCUUGCUGGGUGAAGCUACGCGGAUCGUCGUCCGGGAGGGCUUUCAUGAGCUCGAUGGCUUUUGAGUAUUUUUCGAUGUAGGCUUUAUCCACGGCGUGAGCUGCCGGCCUGACGCGGAGUUUGGUAGGGGAGGGGAAUUUGAAGUCUACGAUUUUUUGGGACGUUGGCGGGCAACAGUUGGUCGGGACUGCUCCACUUGGAAAGUCCGCAGCUCCGCAUUUGGCUAGGUCAGGCGGCGACACUGGCUUUGCAACAGCGAAGGGGUCGCUGCCAAGACCAGCCACUCCACCGUACAGGCUUCCGAGACCUAUAAGUACAUGUCUUCUGUCUAGGUUUACUGGAGAAGGGUUUUCAUGGUCGUGAUCGUUGGAGCUAGUGGAAGGGUUUUUGUUUUGGUCACUACUAUUAUUUGUGGCUUUGCAUGAGACAGCUUGUAAAUUGGAAUGCCUAGGGUUUCCAAAUGAGGAUAUUCGGUGAUACUUUUGGGAGAAAGGAGAGAGAGAAGUUGUGGGGAUGAUACUUGUGGUGGGGGUGACGAGUGGAGCUGACAUAGAAGCCAUGGUUACUUGACUCUGAAUAAUACGUUGUAUGGGCUUUUGCUUUUAUAAUAUGUUCUAGGUUUACUUUUCUUUGCACAGGUGGCAGGCCGUGCACACGUUGUCGAGGAAUAGUACGUAGUCAUUUAGGAGAAAAAUCUAAUUGUGACGGAGGUGACGAGUGGAGCUGACAUAGAAGCCAUGGUUACUUGACUCUGAAUAAUACGUUGUAUUGGCCUUGCUUUUAUAAUAUGUUCUAGGUUUUACUUUGAGGAAUAGUACGUAGUUAUUUAAGAGAAAAUUCUAAUUGUGAUUGGAAAUACAAGUGGUAUACCACGUGUUUUAAUAGAUGUAGUAAGAAAUUUUAUGUUUUAAGUUAUUAAUUUUUUAGUAUACAUAUCACAUCAUUUGUACAGUAACACAUGAUAUACUACUCCGUGUAUCGGUCACAUUGAAAAAUCUCUCGUCAUUUAGUACAGAACAACCGUGCACUAUAGCACGUGGCAUGUAUUUAGAGAUCGACAGAGAAUUGGGUAAGGUUGGCGGCCCUUAAGGGUUUGACGAGGAAUAGUACAUAGUCAUUUAGUACAGGACGACCAUGCACUAUAGCACGUGGCAUGUAUUUAGAGAUCGAGAAAGCAUUGGG
This 67973-nucleotide long non-coding RNA is filed under the name Malus domestica (apple). Its description in RNAcentral is "long non-coding RNA (MDOM_LNC009719)". Lineage: Eukaryota; Viridiplantae; Streptophyta; Magnoliopsida; Rosales; Rosaceae. The record is from RNAcentral.